Molecule: long non-coding RNA, 46386 nt
Filed under: Marmota monax (woodchuck)
Lineage: Eukaryota; Metazoa; Chordata; Mammalia; Rodentia; Sciuridae
Rfam family: tRNA (bases 5127-5197)
Source: RNAcentral
GUGGACACAACAUCUUUAUUUUUAUGUGGUGCUGAGGAUCGAACCCAGUGCCCCACGCAUGCCAGGUGAGUGUGUUACUGCUUGAGCCACAUCCCCAGCCCCGAAUCUUUUGUAUUAGUUUUUUUUUUUAAAAGAAGAAUUUUUUUGUGUGUGUUAGAGAUCGACUUGGCCCUUGUGUUGUGCAGUUAGGCAAGCUUUUUACCACUGAACUACAUUCCCAGCCCAAGGAAAAUUAAAAAAAAAAAAAAAAAAAGCUGUUAUUCAUGUUAGCUUUUCAUCUUGCUUCUAAAGGUAGGGUGGAAAACUGGAAAUAGAAAUGUCUAGGUAACAGAGCAGCCCAAAGGGAAAAGUUCUAUGUGUUUGAGAGUACUUGUUUGUACCCUUAAUGUUUGUAAACUCGAAAUUGUUAAGAGGUUGUAAAAGUUACUGGGUCUCAUGUGCAUGCUAGUUAUAAUUAUUUUACCUUGUAUAUAUAUAGCUUUUCUUAUAUAAAAGUCUUUAAGUUGGAGAAUAUUUGCUAUAUGUAUAUUUCACGAUUGUUUUUUGAUAUUUGCCUGACUUUGGCCUUUGAUUUCUUUCUUAGAAAUGACUGCUGUUCACACAGGCAACAUAAACUUCAAAUGGGACCCCAAAAGUCUAGAGAUCAGGACUUUGGCAGUUGAAAGACUAUUGGAGCCUCUUGUUACACAGGUAAGAAUCUGAAAACACAAAUACAUAGUUGUAGCAUGGUUCUAUAGCAGUAGGCUUGAGUAGACCAAGGUUAUUUCUUUCAAAGUCUUAAUAUGAUUGGUUGAAUUUAGUGUGAUAGUUUUUAUAUGAUUUGGCUCAUCUAAUAAUUGAAUAUUGAUACAGAGAUUUAUUUAAUUCGUUGGAACACAUUGCUACAAUUUUCUUGAGUCAUAUUGCCAAUAGUGGAGGCUGUUGGUAUAUAGAGCAGAUUUUUAGAUAUUGGCACUUUGAGAGAACUUCACCCUUCCUUAAAGGGGAAACUCAAGGAAGUUGUGAUAUGGAUCCUUGUUAAGGUUCCUUACUCAGCUUAAUGCCCUUUGUUUUCUUUUUUUUAAAAAAAAAUUUUUUUUAGUUGUAGAUGGACACAAUACCUUUAUUUUAUCCAUCUAUCUAUCUAUCUAUCUAUCUAUCUAUCUAUCUAUCUUUAUGUGAUGCUGAGGAUCGAACUCAGUGCCUCACACAUGCCAGACGAGUGUACUACCACUGAGCCAUAACCCUAACCCCCAGCUUAAUGCCCUUUCAUUGUGUAGGAUUAAUUAGCAGGUAAUUGAAUUUGAGGGCAUAGUUUUGGGUAUUCUGUUACAAAUACAUGUAUCAUAAUGUGAUGGCAUUUAUCAAUUGUCAGUAAUUAGCUAUGCGCUUUUAGUAUUUUGGUAUAGUUUACAUGUAUGUGUGAGAGAAUAUGAGAUAUAUCAAGUAAGUAGCAUUUGACAAUCUUUUAAAAAAAAUUCUAUUCCAACUUACAGAUGUAAACUAGUAUUUUAUAUAUCUCUAUAUAGGAGUGUAUGGUAAGAGUGGAAUAUUUACUCUCUGGACCCCGUGUACUAUAGCCGUCUUUUGUUUGGCAGAUUUACACUAUAACAAAUCAUUAAUCAUUUCAUCCUACGGAUCAUAAGGUAUUAUACAUAUUAAUACUGAUUAGUAUUCUGGGACUUAAAGCAUCAUCACAGUAGGCUUCUAUGGGUAGUCACUCUUCUUUUUAAUGACCUUUACUAAUUAAUUGCUAAGAUUUGUGAGAAUAAACUGAACAAAGACUUCAGAAGCAAAUUAUCUUAAAAAUGUUUUGUAAACAUUGAUAACAAUGACAAAAUGUGGCUUUCUGGUGAAAUUCAUUGUCAACUUAUUUAUUUAUUUAUUUGUGAUGCUGGGGAUUGAACCCAGGGUCUUGUGCAUGUUAGGCAAGCAAUCUUCGAAAUGAGCUAUAUUCCCAGCCCUCAUAUUGUUAAUCUUUCUAGAACUUCAUGGUGACAUAGAAGAGAGAUAUCUUAACUUAUUUCUUCUUUCUUUUUUUUUUUUGUUUUGCUUACAAACAAAACUUUUUUGAAAAAACACCAAAAUUGGAGAUCAAACAUAAUUACAUUAUCUUGGUAGGGUAACUAGAAAUACUGAACUUAUAAGGCUUUUGUGAGAAAACACAAAUUCAGGAAGUUGUACGUCAUUAACAGUUUCUUCUUCUAAAUGAACAACCUUCUGUGAGUUUGGCCUUUCCUCUUAUAGGCUGGUACAACAGUGUCAAACAACCUACACAAAGAACCGCUGAGCAUGGCUGAGAACUGUGGAAAUCUUGUUGCAACCUGAACAUUUUACAUACAUAAAAUAAGAAUUUGGACUUUGAACUAGUCAUUUCUUAUGUUUUUUUAUUUUCCAAGGAAGGAUUAAACAGAUCUCUAGCCAAUCAGCAGAGACAAUGAUUCAGAAGUUAAAGUUAUUUUUAAAUAAUACCAUUUUCAUCAAUAUUCCGUGUUCCCAAGUUCCUAAUUUGUAAAGUCAAAAUAUUUUUUAUUGCUGGGUAUGGUGGUGUAAGCCUCUGUUUCUAGCGACUUGGGAGGCUAAGGUUCCUUACUCAGCCUUUAAAGCCAGCCUCAGCAACUUAGUGAAGCACUUAGUAACUCAACUGUCUCUAAAUAAAACAAAAAAGGGCUGCUGGGGAUGUGGCUCAGUGGUUAAGCGCCUCUGGGUUCAAUCACUGGUACCUCUACACACACGUUUAUAUUUAUAUUUGUAUAUUAUCUUACACAUUAAGGAAGCUAAGUUAUUUUGAAACCUAAGUUUAGUAUCAUUGCUUUAUAUCUUAAAUAUGGUAAGAGUUGUUAUUUAAUGCUUACUGCAAUGUUUCCUUAUGAAUAAUUUACUGAUGCUAUCUUUUAGGUUGUUAGUCUUUCUUUUGUUUUCAUUUUAGAUGACUGCGAUUUAAUUAAUUUUUAAAAUGAAACCUUUAGGUUACAACCCUGGUAAACACCAACAGUAAGGGACCCUCUAAUAAAAAGAGAGGUCGUUCUAAGAAGGCCCACGUUUUGGCUGCAUCUGUUGAACAAGCAACUGAGAAUUUCUUGGAGAAGGGGGAUAAAAUUGCAAAGGAGAGUCAGUUUCUCAAGGAGGAGCUUGUGGCUGCUGUAGAAGAUGUUCGAAAGCAAGGUAGGUCAAUAUUUUUUUUUUAUAUAGAGGCAAGCCUUUAUAGAAAAUUGGUCGUACUCCCCCCCGCCCCCCGAAUGCAAUCCAGGACCUUGUAUAUGCUAGGUAAUAACCCUGCCACUGGGUUACAUCCCCAGGUUCUGCAAAAGCCAUCUUUGGAGGAAAUUUUGUGUGGUCAGUAGUCAGUGCUUGCUACUUAAUUAUUCAGUAACUUAUAAUAUUUAUUUGAGUUGUCUAAUUAAUUGUACAGGUGCAUAUUUUAAUCAGAAGAUAUGCUUACAUUAAAAUGUCUUUUUGGAGAGUCUGAAUCUACUUCUCUUGGGUGUUUCAAGAAUUAGUUAAGUCACAGAAAUGUUAUUGCACAAUUCUAAAGGGUAUAAAAGUGACAGAAGUUUUAUCUUUCUUCUUGUGAUACCUCUUCUUAAUUCAUAGUAAUGAUAUUGGAUAAUGUGAAACAUUUAGCUUGAUAAUAUUCAUUACUCUAAAAAUACCCUAGAAAUUUGUCCUGUACUUUCACACUAGUAUGUUAAAUCAUCUAUGCAUAUUUGUACUGGUUUGUGUUUGACAUAAAUAUAUCUGGGCAUAAAGAAAAAUAAAAUUAUGGCAUUUGCUGGCAAAUGGAUGGAACUGGAAACUAUCAUGCUAAGUGAAAUAGUCCAAUUCCAAAAAACCAAAGCUAAAUGUUCUCUCUGAUAUACAGAGGGAAGAAUAUAAAUUCAUUGGAUUAGACAAAGGGUUAGGGAGAUGGCAUAGGAAAGACAGAAGAAUGAAUCGGACGUAACUUUCCUAUGUUCAUAUUGAAUACAUGACCAGUAUAACUCCACAUCAUGUACAACCACAAGAAUGGGAAGUUAUAUCCCAUGUAUGUAUGUCAGAAUACAUUCUACUGUCAUGUACAACUAAAAAGAACAAAUAAAAAAAUUAUAUUAACUCAUUUAAAAAAAUAUCUUGGCUUACAUGAAUCAUGUUUUUGUCAACUCAAAAUUGAAUAGGUAAAAUGGUAAGUUAAUCCACACCUUACCAGUAAUUAUUAUUAGAAAAAUUAUCAUUGUUACACUGUAAAUUUGAAAAGAAGACUUUAAAUCUGGAAGAUAAUUUUUUUUUUUUUUUUUGGGUGCAGUACAGAGGGUUGGACAUAGGACCUUGCACAUGCUAAGCAAGGGCUCUGCCAUUAGCCACAUCCCCAGUCCUUUUUAUUUUACUUUGAGACUGGGUCUCAGUAAAUUGUCUUGACUGCCCUUGAACUUUCUAUCCUACUUUUAGUUUUCAUAGUAGCAAGGAUAAUAAGCAUAUACCACUAUGCCCUACUGAGGGUAAACUUAUUGAAAUCUGUAGUUCUGUGUUAGACCUGUGUUCUAGUAGGAGCAAUUCAACAAAGAUGUAAGUUUUGUAGGCCAUUGGAUAUCAGCUAAGGUGAAUUGAGCCUCUAAUAUGGACAGUGCUUUACUGGCCUUUAGGAGGACUUCACUUCUGGUACCCUAAAUAGCAAAGUACAUAGGCCACUGGAGUCUAAGUCAAAUUCAUCCUUGUGACAGUACCCAAAAGGAGGAGUAUCUUUGAUAGAGAUGACAUUUCCAGUUGUUCUGAAUUUGUGAACUAAAAACCUUAUUUGGGGGCUGGGGUUGUGGCUCAGUGGUAGAGCACUCGCCAUGCAUGUGUGAAGCCUUGGAUUUCAUACCCAGCACCACAUAAAAAUAAAUAAAUUAAAUAAAGGUAUCAUGUCUAUCUAGAACUAAAAUCUAUCUAUCUAUCUAUCUAUCUAUGUAUCUAUCUAUCUUAUUUGGUGAAUAUUUCAGUUUCAGGCUGAAGAUAAAUAUCUCUAAUACUAAAAAUAAUGAAAUUAUUAAAAUUUUUAAUAUGAGUGGGGUGGCUAUAUUAGUUUCCUAGGCCUGCCAGAAUAUAAAUUAUUAUAAAUUUGAUGGCUUAUAACAAUAGAAACUUAUUCUUCCGUAAUUCUAGAGGUAAAAAAUAUGAAAUUAGGGACUGGGGUUGUGGCUCAGAGGUAGAGCACUCGCCUUGUGCGUGUGAGAUCUGGGUUCCAUCCUCAGCACCACCUAAAAAUAAAUAAAUAAAUGUAUUGUGUCCAACUACAGCUAAAAAAUAAAUAUUUUUUUAAAAAGAGGGUGGCUGGGGUUGUGGCUCAACGGUAGAGCACUAGCCUAGUAUGUGUGAGGCCCUGGGUUCGAUCCUCAGCACCACAUAAAAAUAAAUAAAUAAAGGUAUUGUGUCCAACUAUAAAAGUAAAAUAUUAAAAAAAAAUAUGAGGGCUGGGAAUAUAGCUCAGUUGGUAGAGUGCUUGCCUUGCAUGCACAAGGCCCUAGGUUCAAUUCCCAACACUGACCCCCCCCCCCAAAAAAAAAUAUAUAUAUAUCUAUAUAUAUGAAAUUGUAGUUUUGGCAGGCUUGGUUCCUUCUUGGGGUUCAGGAAGAAUCUACUCCAUGCCUUUCUCCUGGCUUCUUUUAUAUUUUUGCAGAUUGGGAAUUGAACCCAGGGGCACUUUACCACUGUGCUACAUUUCUAGUCCUUUUUAUUUUUUUAGAUAGGGUCUUGUGAUCUUGAACUUGGUGAUUCUUCUCUCUAAACCUCCAAUCACUGGGAUUUCAGGCAUGUGCCUCCACACUGUGCUGUUCUUGCUUCUUGGGUUACUAGGAGUUGGAGAAAAGGCACUCCAAUCUCUGUUUUUUGUCACAUACCAUACUGUUUUUCUUGUGUAUCUCUGUGUCCAUAUUUCCCUUUCCUUCUAAGAGCAUCAUCAGUCAUUGAGUUAGGGCUUUCAUCCUAAUCUAGUGUGACCUCAUCUUAACUUGAUAACCAUCUGCAAAAACUCUAAUUUAAAGUUCACAUUCUAAAUAAGUUCACAUUCUAAAUAAGUUCACAUUUACAGGUUCUGGGUGGAUAUGAAUUUCUAGCCUAGUACAAGGAUUCGAAUUUGUUUUAAAGCAGUGCUUUUUAUCUUCCCUUUUGUAUUCUAGGCAAGUAUCCGGUCUGUAUCCCCAGCCCCUUAGCAGUUUAAUGUCCAGUUUAGGAACAUUUUGAGCUUUCUGCAGAGGAAAUUAAAAUGACUCUUACUUCAUUUUCCUCUAUGGAAAAGUUCUGUUCCCCAGCCCUUCUUAUAGCCUGUAGUGAAAUUCCACAGUUGUAACAGAUGUGUUUGGCCAAGUCUUCAUUGUGUCUACUGACCAAAACAUUUUAAAAAUAUAUUUAAUUGUUGCAGGUAAUAAUAUACAUAUAUUUCUUGUUUUAGAAGUAUCUCUGAUGCAAAUCAUGGUAUAAUCCACACAUUCUCCCUCAAACUGCCCCGCCCCCCUUUUGAAUGCAGAUCUGAAUUUCUCUUUGCUUGUUAUUUUUGUUUAUAUCUGUGAAAAUCUUGUAUGUGAUUCUGAAUCAUAAAGACUUGUUUUCCUGGUCCAACUUUUCAGUUACUUAUGAUCAUGGUCCUAUUCAUCAUAAUUUGUCUUUCUGCCAGGGGUUGGGGGUAGGGUAGAGAAAUACAACCAAACUAUAAUUGUCUCCCAUCAUCAUUGCAUCAGAUAGAAAAAGCUGAAGUGCUUUGCUUUUUUUGUUGGCUAAGUUUUUUCUUUGGAGAAUAUUAACAAUUGGUGAUAAACCCUGUUUUCUGUCAUUAGUAAAACAAAAUAUAUAUUAUGAAAAUGAUUAAGCACAGAUUUAAAAAAAAUCAGAUAAGACUCUGUUUUGUUGCUGAAGCUGUUUAUUCAUGUUUGGAACCCUGAAGUAGUGUUGCUAUCUAGAUUUUUUGAUGGCCUCCCUUAAAAAAGUGGAGCCUAACCUCAAACCUCAGCAGUGUUGCUUGGACUUAGUAACUCAGUUCUGUAAUGGAAUGUGGAGGAAGUGAUGUGAUCUACUUUGGAGGCAAAGUUAUAAAAAGGGAUCAUAUUUACCUGACUUUUUCUCAUGGAAUAUUCACUCUGGGGAAGGCUGGCUGCUAUGCCAGAAAACACUUAUGAGGUCCUGUAGAGAGGAGCUGAAGUAUCUGUCAGCAGUCAGCACAACUUUGUCAGUCAUGUGAGUUAACUCCCUUAGAAGUAGAUCCUCCAACUCUAAUCAAGUUUCAAAUGACAUUAACCAACCAACUUUAAAUCCCUGGCCCACAGAGAAACCCAGGAGAUAAUAAAUGUUUUAAGCUAUCAGCUUUUAUAAUAAUCGUUAGGCAGCAAACGAGAAUUAUUAUAAACACCUUUGCUGGCUUGACUUCAGUGGUUUUGAGCAUUAAUGCAAAAGCUUGACCUAACUGUAGUCAUUUUUACUAGUAUAUAAAAUAAAUGCUUAUCUAUGGAAAGUCCUAGUUGCUAAAGGAAGUGUAAGAAAAUUGUCAUUUACCAGCAAUUACUUUUGUUUAGAAUAAUGUUUGGCAAAUUUUUUUUGGUUAAGGGCCAGGGAGUCAAAUCUGUUGAAACUAUUGUUACUUCUGUCUUGGGAAAGCAGCUACGGACAAUAUAUAACAGAUGGGCAUGGUCUUGUUUUAAUAAAACAAAACUUAUUUAUAAAUACAGGAGGUGGGCUAGAGUUUUGGAGGGUGGGGGUACUGGGAAUUUAACCCAGAGGUGCUUUACCACAGAGCUACAUCCCUAAGCCUUUUGAUUUUUUUUUUUUUUUUUUUGAGACAGGCUCUCAAUAAGUUGCUGAGACUGGUCUUGAAUUUGCUAUUCUCCUGCCUCAGACUGCUGAGCUGCUAGGAUUACAGCAGUGUGCCACCAUGCCCAGCAGCGAGUUGGGCCAGAUUUGAUUUAUAGGCUGUAGUUUGCCUAACCCCUAACCUAGGUGUUUUUUUUUUUUUGAGACUAAUAAAAUUAUAAGGUUACUAUUUUAAAAGUAGUAUUUGUUCAUAAUUUAUUUAUAACACUUAUGAGCCAAAAAAUUAAGCCUUGUAUGUCUUUGGGUUUGUACACAUUCUAUGCAGUCAUAAUGAACAUCUAGAAACUUGAUUUUUACAUGGCUAACGUAAGACUAGAAAAACGCCGCACCACACGACACAGAUUACCAAAGAGGUUUCCGCUUUAUUACAAAAGGCUGUGUGUUUAUAUAGGUCUAAGAGAGGUAGCAGGGGCUGAGGUAGAUAACAGGUCGCCCGUUUAUUGGCAAGCUCUUCCAUAUGUCAGUUCCGGAGCCCAAGAAGUUAAUUCUAAUUGGGGCUAAGGCUUCCCACCAGCAGGAUUUGAACAUUGGCACCGGCGGGAACGUUUCACGCCAGUGAAAGAAACAAAGAAGAGAAGGAGGGUCGUUAGACGCCAUGCUGGGGUUUUUCUCUGGGGUGCGGCUGCCUUAUGUUUUCCCAACAUUCCUCCCUUUUUUGUUUUCUUAGAAAGUGGGGCGUCGUUGGUCAGAUCCGGCUGCUUCCUGCUGUGUUGGGGCGGCGUGGGCCUAGAAAGGGAAGUGGAGGAAUGUUCGGGGGCGGGGGGGGGGGCGCAGGNGGGGGGCAGGUCUGGGGAUAUCAUGGCAACCAGAAAUAAAACCCAGUGGCUAUAGACAGCUACUUCCGUAGGGGUGAAGUCUAUGAAAGUUCCCUGAAAUCACAAGUUGUUGAUGGCAUUGAACCAGUCCUGGAUGGAGGAGAUUGUUGGUAUCAGCCACUGGUCCUGUAACAGAGACUCUAGGAAAUAUUGAAAGCGUUGCCUUGACAUGGCGUCACCAGCACCUAAAGAAAAUCAGAGCGAACAAAAACAGGAUGAAGAUAAAAUUAAAGCAAAUGUCAGUUUUUUGGCAGAAGUUCCAUGUCGGGGGACUGACAGAGAAGAGGCCAAGGGCCAUAAGGAGGCUUAAAAGGACAUAAAGGCUUAAAAAUCCAGGAUGGCAGAUUAAGAGGUUCUCCGGGCUCAUUGUCUUCCGCUGUCCGUUGCAUUCCAUCGCGCCUGGUAGUGAGCUUCAGCAAUGAGUGAGCUGUUCUCUUGAAGAUGUUGGGGGCUCAUCGGUCAUCAGAGGCUGGUAGUACCUAAGCAGAGGCUGGCUGAAAAUUUGGUUAGAGAUCUUCCGUAAUUGGCCCUGUAGGAAGCAAAGCAGACAGGGCAGGAACAGACACAUCAGGAAAAGAAGAUGUAUGGGCCCUAAAAGAGGCAACAGCCAUGAUUGGAAGUGGGCUAAAAAGAAGGUGGCAAAUGGGUUUUGGUUUGGUGGAUUUUUCAAAGAGGUAGCCAAGUCGGUGAGCUUGACUACAUUAAUUUCCACAAGGCCUGAUUCGUUGAUGUAGUAACAGCAUUCUUCCCUCAAGAAAAGACAGGUUCCACCUUUUUCGGCUGUGAGUAAGUCUAUAGCUCGUCAAUUUUGAAGAGUAACUUGAGCCAAGGAUGUGACCUGCCUUUGUAAAGAUGCUAGAGAUUCUGCCGUAGAAGUGAGCGCUUGUUCAAGUUUAGAACUUAAGUCCUGUACAGCCCAUAAGGAGUGUCCUAGAGCUCCACCAGAAAUUCCGGCUCCCGCUACAGAUACAGCCAGUGAGAGAUCCACCAGUAUUGGAAGGGAAGCAGCCCGCUUAUUCUGCACUGGGGGAGACAAGAGGGCCUGCACUUCAGCUGGGGUAUAGAGAGUCAAUUGCGGGACAAGCGUCACCAGUAUACAUGGGGUAGAGGUGUUGGUGAAUAAGAUAGUGAUGAGAGAACCAUUACACCAGAAGAAUGAGCCAGGUGGUGCAUAGAGGGUGAAGUUAAAGGUGAUGUUAGAGUGGCAAAACUUUGACUGGGAGACACCCAAGCCCAGGAGGCAGCGCCGGGGAAUCACAGUAUGGUUAGACUCCUCGGGCUCCCAUAAUGGAGCAUCAGGUGAAAGGGUUCGGAGAGAACGGCGGGCAGAUGGAGUGGAGAAAUUUGAGAGGUCAGAAGCCNAGAAGUUCAAGGGAACCGCUGCAAGCAAAGGUCGAGUCAGAGAGGCGCAUAAGUAGCAAUCAGUUGGUGUGAUGGCGGGGAGGGUUAGAUUUAAGAAGGUUACAGUUUCAGUAAGUAGUCGUAGCCAUGAAUACUGUGGUGGACUCCCGACAUUAGGCUCAUAUGGAUCCUGUAUGGAGUCUAACAACUGCUGUUCGGAAUGCUUUAUGUCAGUAGAGAUUAUAGCUACUGAGGGCUGGGAGGGUUGAAGCUCUUGGGAGAUGGAGAUGGAGCCACAGGGGGUGGGAGAUGAUAUGUCACAGUAGAAGGAAGCAUUUACCCUAGAGGUCCAGCGUGGAUGGUUAGGGUCAGUGAUAGCCAAUUGAUAGCCUCCCGAGAUCAAUCUGAAAUUUCCAACGCAGGAACCCCCAAUGCAUGAAUGUGGGUUAUGAACGUUACAUGACCAGUAGGGGCAUCCCCCAUAGGUUUCGGGCCACCAUUUGCAGUAAUCCUCUGUCUGAUCAUAUAAGAAGCAAAGGUAAGGCCUAGUGGCUAUUUUUAAAAGUUCAGAAUUCUGGGAGGAGAGGGAAAGGAAGAUAGAUGCAUUACAUCUGGUAGGGGCGCAAUCGACUGAAGAAACUAGGUGAGUGUAACGAGGACAUAUGUCUCGUUACAUAUGCCUUGGACAUAUGUCUCUGUGACUUUGAAUCUCCAAGUAUCAUGGUGGAGUAGGGCAGGUGGGACACAAGAGGAGGAGUGACAGGAAAGUUUUAGUUGAUUAAGAAAGGCAUCCAUAGAAUAGCUCAAAGGGGCUAAGGCCUGAGGGGGCUCUAGGAGUUGCCCGAAUUUGGGUGAGGGCCAAUGGCAAAAGAUUGGGCCAGGACAGUCUGCGUUCAAUAGCAAGUUUAGUGAGAUGAUCCUUGAGAAUGCCAUUAGGCCUCUCAACCUUACCCGAGGAUUGGGGUCAGUGGGGGAUGUGGAGCCUCCAAGUGCUGUUAAGGCCUUUGGAAACUAGUUAAACAAUCCGAGAAGUGAAGGCUGGACCGUUGUCUGACUGGAUGGAGGCAGGAAGUUCAAACCUAGGAAUGAUCUGCUUAAUGAGGAUGAAGGCGACAGUGUCAGCAGUUUCCGAUGGUGUCAGCAGUUUUCCUGGAGGUAGGGAAGGCUUCUGUCCAACUGUUAGACAGUGCUAUCCCCAAAUUACAAACAGUUAAAUCCUAUGUCAAGGCCUGACCAAAGUGGUAGGGACUGUCCCUAAAGCCUUGGGGUAGGCCUGUCCAUGUCAGCUGUUGAAACCUAAAGAAUGUAAGGUCUUCCCAUGUGAAGGCAAAGAGGUAAUAAAGUCAGGAUGCAAAGGCACUGUAAAAAAGCCAGCUUUAAGGUCCAGGACAGUAAAGUGAAUGGUCAAAGGGGGAUAUGAGAAAGAAAAGCAUGAGGGUUGGAAACCGAGUGGAUGGGAAUAACUGCCUCAUUAAUUAGGUGGAGUUCCUGGACUAAGCGAUAGGCUCCGGAGGGUUUGCGCACCGGCAGUAUGGGGGUGUUGCUGGGGGAGUCAGUAGGAGUAAGGAGUCCCUGGGCCAGCAACCGGUCUAUAAUGGGUUUAAGUCCCUCCUUAUGGGUUUUGGAGAUAGGAAAUUGGGAACACAAGGAAGUUUAGUUUGGUGUUUCAGCUGGGUAUGGACUGGCUUGUGGUGGGAGGCAAUAACCAGCAUGGAGAUGUCUCAGACCUAGGGAUCAGGGGGCAAUGGCACAGUAGGUACUGUCAGGUCAUUAGAGAGGGUAAGAGUUAAAGGCCAAAGGAGAUGGGUGGUAGUAUUCUUGGGGUGUAAUUGGAGGGUGGCUCCUAAUAAUUGGAGAACAUCUCUGCCUAGGAGAGGAACUGACAGGAUGGAAUGACCAGAAUAGUGAGUGAAUGGGUGUCCCUCCAGGGCACAGGCCAGCUUUACAAUUCUGUUUGGGGAGAAGGGUUUGUUAUCAAUCCCCAUAACUGAGACCUGGGAAGGAAACAGAGGCCUAGAAUGGGCAGGCAAGACAGAAUAGGUGGCCCCCGUGUCCACAAGGAAGGUUAUGGACUUACCCGCUGCCUGGAGCAUUACCCUGGGCUCAGAGAGGGCUGAGGGGGUCUUUGAAUCUGGGCUUCUUCAGUCUUCUGCAAACCCCAAAAGUUCAGGAGAGGGGGACUGCCUGACUGGUCAUACCCCCUGCGUAGAGGCGCCAAGGAAGGACCAGCCAGAGGCAGUCAAUCUUCCAAUGUCCUGUCUGCUUACAGGUGGGGCAUGGCCUGGAAGGAGGCCGUGGGUUUGGGCAUUGGCGAGCCCAGUGACCUUCGCAUCCAUAUUUGAGGCGAGCCUCUGGUGGAGAGGAGUGCUGGUUCCCCUCUGAAACUUGCUGGAGAUGUAGGCCUCAGGGCUGCUGUUAAGGCCUGAGUUUGGGGUGUUACCUUCUUUUCUGCAAUGAAGCCUGCUUUAAAAACCAUUUUCACCAGAUCUCAGAUAGGGGUCCGAUAGUCCUCCUCAGCUCAUUUGAGCUUUUUCUGAUAUCAUGAGCCGAUUGAGUAAUGAAAUGGGUUGCUAACACUGUAGCCCUGAUGGGAGACUCAAUAUCUAGCUUAAUGUAUUUGGUUAGGGCCUCUGUAAGGCGGUUGAGAAAUAAGGAUGGAUUUUCAUCAGGGUUCUCGGUAAUGUCCUUCAGUUUAUCAAAGUUAACUACCUUAUUAGAAACUGCUUGCAUGCAGUCCCAGUUAGAUUCAGUUAUGGGACAUGCACUCGGACUAUCCCUUCAGCACCAGCUACUUCCCUGACAGAACAAAGGAACUGUGAGUUAUCUGAUAAAAGGGAUCAGUGGACCCACGUGGGCCUUCCAGGACACCAACCGGAAAUCCCUCCUCCGGAACUUCCCCAACCAACUUGAACUCUCCAGGAAUCCCCUUGAGAACUCCAAAGUAGUGGACAGCAGGGAUCUAAUAUACAAUUGAAUACACAGCUUAACAUUACCAUCAUCAUCUCAAUGGCUUGCUGGCAUCACCUCUCAAUCAUUCCCUUCUGGCCAAAUGACUCAGGCUGUGGCUCUCAGCAAUAAUUGUUUAGUAAGGAGUAAUGUAAGAAAAGAUUCUUUUCUCAAAAAUUUUUUAAAAUAUUUAUUUAUUUAUUUUUUAGUUUUAGGUGGACACAAUAUCUUUAUUUUACAUUUAUGUGGUGCUGAGCAUUGAUCCCAGUGCCUCAUGCAUGCUAGAUGAGCACUCUACCACUGAGCCACAAUCCCAGCCCCUCUCAAAAUUUAAUACAUGUUUUUUCCUAGUGCCAGAUAGAAAUGUUCAUAGGGGAGGAGAAUCUUCCUUUUUUUGUUGUUGUUGUUGGUACUGGGGAUUGAGCUCCGGGGCACUUGACCCCUGAAUCACAUCCAAAGCCCAUUUUUGUAUUUAGAGACAGAGUCUCACUGAGUUGCUUAGCACCUCAUUUUUGUUGAGCUUGGCUUUGAACUCGAGAUCCUCCUGUCUGUCUCCUGAGCUGCUGGGAUUACAGGCAUGUGCCACUGUGCCCAGCUUCCUUUGCUUUUUUAAUCAAGAUAUAAUUCACUCCUAUAUAUAAGUGUAUAUAUAUAUAUAUAUAAAAGUAUAUAUAUAAAGUACAUAUAUAAGUAUGUAUAUAAAGUAUAUAAAAUUCACUCCUAUAAAGUGUAUAGUUUAGUUUUUAGAUCUUAGAGGGUUGUAUACUAUCAUUGUUAUCUAAUUCUAGAACAUUUUUAUCACCCCUGAAAGAAAUCUUAUGCUCAUUAGAAGUCACUUUUGAUACAUAUGUAUUUUAACAGUAUCUAAAGAGUUGGAGCUUUCUUUUAGUAUCUUUUGGUGUAUUUUAUGAUCCUUGAAUAGGCCUCUGACUCUAAGAAAAGGACCCUUUGCUGAAUAGGGAACUGGAUGGAUAAGAUUUAAAUGAAACUUGUUUGGAAAGGGAGAGACACUAUAAACAGAAUCAGUGAUGUUAAAUUGGUAAUGGAAUGAUGAGGAAUAGCUUCUGUAGAGCAGGGUUUUAUAAUCCGUUGGUCACAAUUUUGCAGGUGGCUCUGAAAUUAGUAUCAGUAACUUGCUGUUCUAUCAUGACUUUUUUUCCUCCAGCUUAUAGGCAUUUGUGGGUGGAAUAAAGGGGUGAUAAUCCAAAGAAGUUGAGGUAUAUUUUAAUUUUUUUUCUCACUCACAUGUGGGAUUUUAUUAAUGUUAUGUAUUUCUACAUACACAUAAUAUGACAGAUAUCACUCCCCAUCACUUUCCCUUCCCUCCCUGAGGUACAUUUUUAUGCAAUCCCACACUGCUUUUAAUAUUUGGCUCAGUAAGGGGAUGAAUACAUGAUUGUUGCAUUGGGCAAUAGUAGAUUUCCUGGGAAGAAGCAUGUGUUGGAGGGACCAGAUGUGAAUGGGCUGGUUGAUCCUUUGUGAUUUCCUAGUGGAGACUAUGUACUAUUUUGUUCUAGAGUUUAUAAUCAGGACAUAUAGACAUGCAAAGUAAAUUAAUAACAUGAGCGAUAGAGGAAUGAGUGAGUAAGCAAGGGAUUGGAAAUCUCUCUGAAGAUUCAAACUUGUGCUGGGUCUUGAAAGGUGAAAGAAGGAAGGGGGAAAGUCAUCCAUGUAAGAAAAAUAAUGAACAUGCAAGUCAUGCCUGGGGAAUAAGAAGUCCCUGAGUGGAGCCCCACUGAUAGAAGUCAGGAGAGAAUCUGGGGCUUACAGUUGUUAUCAUAGUAGUGGAAUACCUGCUUAGUAUUUGCAAGACCCUGGGUUUGAUUCUCCCCUCCCCCCCCUUCCCCUCCAAAAAAGUCUGGAGCUAGAUUUAAUUUUAUUUUUGGAGUUAGAUUUUAGGAGGUGGCUUUGAAUACUAGGUGAAGAAGGAAUGACUAUUAGAGGAACUAUGUAGAAUCAGAGCAUUCUAUGGUUGGGACAGGUCUCACAUCUUCCCAUAUGCUCAGAUAUAUCAACAGGACUCACUACCUCAGGAAGUACCUCUUUCCAGUAUUGGUUUGUGUUUAUUUUUAAAGCUUUUUUUUUUCUUCUUAAAUUAAACUGAAAUAUGUCUCUUUAAUCUUUUUCCUGUUUAAGAAGUUCUGCCAUCUGGGUAACACAGAAUAUGAUGAAAAUGGUGUUUUGGUGGGAGACUAGUCUUUAAGCUUUGUGUAGGAAGGGUUAAAGAGAUUGAUAGGCAGUCUGGAGGCAGGACCUUAAGAGUCUGGAGAUCAUCAUAGUAGUCAGGGAAAAUGAAGCUGUAAGCCAGGAACUGCUAUACUAGGAUAUAAAGGAUAUCAAAAUUAAAUUUUUUUAUGAGUCCUUGAAUAGGCCUCUGACCCGAAGUGGCCAGUUAUCUGUCAUGCAGGUUCACUUCCAGCUUGGCUUGUGCAAAUAACCAGUCAUUUUAAUAGAUAAAACUAAGGGACUUGGUAUGUAAAAAAAAUGUAAUAAUUCAUUUUGCUGUGACUUGAGUCAUUUAAAAGUAUGUUGAGAUAGUGUGUGAUAAGAACUCAUAUGAAUUAUCUGAAGUUAGAACAUACUCUCCUCAGCUUAGCCUUAGGAUUCUGCUGUUUCAGUUUUUAGUCAAGUUAAAAUUACUUGACAGUAUUUGCUCCAGUAUUUAGUUACAUUUAUUAAAAAGUCAAUAGUUUUUAAAAAUUUUUAUUUUGAAAAUUGUAGAAUUCAUAGGAAGUUGCAAAGAUGCUACACAGAUCCAGUGUAUUCUCAACCCAGUUUUCCCCAGUGGUUACUUCUUUUUUUUUUUUUUUUUUUUUUUUUUUUGUGGUGCUGGGGAUUGAACCCAUGGCCUUGAGCAUACAAGACAAGCUGUCUACCAACUGAGCUAUAUCCCCAGCCCCGCAGUGGUUACUUCUUAUGGAACUACUAUACAGUAUCAAAACCAGGAAGCUGACUUUGGUAUAAUGUGCAAAUAUAGCUUUCUGUUCUUUUAUUAAAUAUGUAGAUUUGUAUAACAACUACAGUAAUUAAGAUACAGAACUAUUCUAUCUAUACUAAGAUCUCCUUCAUACUACCUCUUUAUAGUUCUAUAUAUACUCCUUCCCCUCUCCAAAUUUCCCUGGUAAAAAUUCUGUUCUCCUCCUGGCAUUUUAAGAAUUGACUGGGCAUGGUGGUGCAUGCCUGUAAUCCUAGCAACAUGAGAGGCUAGGCAGAAAAGUUGCAAGUUAGAGAUCAGCCUCAGAAACUUAGUGAGGGCCUAAGGACAUAGGAAGACCCUGUUUCAAAAUAAAAAAAGGGCUGGGGAUGUGGCUCAGUUUUUAAGUGACCUUGGGUCUCCCAACAAAAGUUAUAUUAACGGAAUCAUACAGUAUAAUCUUUCAGUUUUGCCCCCCUCCAUCCCCCAGCUUGGUGUCCUUGAGAGCCAUCCAACUUGGUGUAUAUAUCAACAGUUUAACUUUUUAUUGCUUGAUAGUAUUCCAUAGGAACUCCAUGCAUGGGUAUCACUUGUCUAUGGCAAAGUAAAGAUUUUCCUUAUUUUUCAUCCUCUUGACAGAACUUUUUUCCCCUGGUGGUUGAGAUUGAACCCAGGGCCUUGAGCAUGCAAGGCAAGCACUCUACCAACUGAGCUAUAUCUCCAGCCUUCAUAGUAUUUUUGUAAAGUAAAAAAUUUUAAUUUUGAUGAAGUCCAGUUUGUUGAUUUCCCCCCCCCGCCCCACCCUCCAAUUUAUGGAUCAUGUCUUCAUGUCCUUGGUGCCAUUUUUAAUAUUUUUCAUCAAGCUCUAGCUUAUGAAGGUUUUUCUUCCCUUUUAAAAGUUUUAUAGUUUUUCAUUUUACAUUUAAGUUUAUGAUUCAUAAGUUUUAUGUAAGGUGUGGGGUUUAGGUCAUUCUUUUUUACCUGUGGAUAUCUAGUUGUUCGAGUAUUAUUUGUUGAAGAGACUAUUUUUUUUUCUCCAUUGAAUUGCUUUUUUAUCUUUGUUAAAAAUAAAUUGAUCAUACUAGUGUAGAGUUGUAUCUUGUUUUUCUAUUUUGUUUCAUUGUUCUAUGUAUAUCUUUUUUCCCUCUGCCAAUACCACACAGUCUUGAUUGCUGUCACUAUAUAAAAGUUUUAGAAUUGGGUAGAAUGAUUCUUUCUAGUUAAUUCUUUUUCUGCAUUAUUUUAGCAAUUCUAGUUUGUUUGCUUUUCCAUAUAAAUAUUAGAAUAAUUUUAUCUAUAUCCACAAGAAGUAUGGAAUUUUGAUAGGAAUUACAUUAAAUUUGUAUAUCAAUUUGGGGAGAAUUGACCUUUUUUUCUAUGAAGUCUGUCACAUUUUACACACACACACACACACACACUCAGGCUAGCAUUCCCAAAGUUUCCAUAGGGUCCUAGUUUUUAGGCAUUAAAAGUAUAUUCCUAAAUUACUCUCUAGUAAGGUUUUAUCUUUAGUUUGCUAAUGUUCAUAUAACCUCACCAAUUAACCAAUUACAAGUUAUAGAAAUUCCUGUCAAACUUGUUUGAGACAAGAGGGUGUUUAUGGACUUAUAAUUGGGAAUUCAAGGAGUAACUUUGAGUCAAAGGAUGUGGGACUUUCUUAACCACAAGUCUCAGUUUUGGCUUGUCUCCUUCCUUCCUCCUUCUCUCCCUCCCAGGGGCACUGUACCACUGAACUACAUCUUAUUUUUUAAAUUUGAGACAGGGUUUUACUAAGUUGCCAGGCUCACCUUGAACUUGUGCUCCUCCUGUCUAAGCCUGCUUAGUCACUUGGGAUCAUAGGAAUGUACCACCACACCUGGCUACCUUUUUGCUUAUAUGCUGUAUGCAUAUUGGACAGUAUGUCUACCACUGAUUAGAGAUGAUCAUGCUUGUUAUAUCAUCUCUGCAGAAAAAGAACUUUUCUUCCUCAGUGUCUUUAAGUGCCUCUGUUUGGGUCAUGCUCAGCCCUAAAUAGGUUUCUGAUGCCAGAGGAGACUGAUUAGCCAGUUUAUGUCACAUGUUUACCCUAGGCGCAAGGAAUCGGGAAGACUUCUCCAAAGGAAGAAGAGGUAUAAUAAAGUGAUGUUGUGUAGAAUUUUUUUUCUUGAUGAUGCUGGAAUAGUCCCAUUAAUAAAUUUUUUCUCCCUCUUUUUGUGUCUUUAAAGAAACUUUGUAUCAUUGGGGGCAAGUGUGUGGUUCAGUGGUAGAGUGUUUGUCUAACACGUAUUGGAUCCUGGGUUUGAUACUCCAGCACUCUUAAGGAGAGAGAAAAAAAAAAAGCAUGAUGGUGCUAAUGGAUUUUGAACAUUUUUUUGUUUGGUAAUAUAUCUGAAACAUAAUGUGUGUGAGAAUGCCUAAGGUAGUGAUAGGUAUCUAUAAACACGACUUUUCCUUUGUUGAUUUGUUGAAGCCCUGUUAUUUUUGUUGUUGAUUGGAAUUCUGUCAGGUUUUAAAAAAAAAUUGAAACAUGUCUCCUUGGGCGGGAGAUGCUGAUCUUUUAGAUUUCCCCCUUUCACUCUUUUGGCAUAGCAAAAGUGGAAUUAUCUUGGAGUAAAAAAAAUCAAGACAUAUUGCUUAUGUCUAUGAUUUUUUUAUUUUUGAAAUUUUGUGGUUCUGGGGAUUGAACACACUCUACCACUGAGCUACAUCCUCAGCCCCUUUUAUUUUAAUACAGGUUCUCACUAAGUUGCUCAGGCUGGCCUUUAACUCGUGAUCCUCCUAUCUCAACCUCCCGAGGCACUGGGAUUAUAGACUUGUGUCACUGUGCCGUGUACUUUUAAAAGUAAAAAUCUUAAAAACUACAGAAAUACCCAUCAUUUAAAACUCAUGGUCUCUUAGGACGCUGAUAUAAAGAAAGGUUGGGGAAUUAGUUUUUUUUUUUUUUUUUUUGGUCUUGGUACUGGCAAUUGAACCCAGGAGCGCUUAACCACUGAGCCAUAUCCCCAGCCCUUUUUAAUAUUUUAUUUAGAGACAGCUAAAUUGCUGAGACCGGCUUUGAACUCACUAUCCUCCUCUUCUAGCCUCCCAAGCCACUGGGAUUACAGGUGUGUGCCUUUGUGCCUGGCUGGAAUGAAGGUUUUUAUUGAUACUGAUACUUUUCUUAUUUUUAUUUUUUUGCAGUACUGGGGAUUGAACCCAGGACCUUGCAUCCCCAGCCCUUUUAAAUUUUUUUUUUUUUUUAAAUUUUUUAAAUCUUGAAACACUGUAUCACUAAAUUGCCUGGGUUGGCCUCCAAACUUGCAAUCCUGCUGCAGUCUUAUGAUUUGCUGGGAUUACAGGUUUGUACCACUGCUCCCAGUGACAUAUUUUUACUUCUCUUAGCAAUGGUGUGGUGUGGUUGAGAACAUAACUGCAAUCUUCUUUGAUAUAGCUUGAGUGACUUGUAUAUGGGGGAGGGGAGAGAGUAUGUGUGUUUGUGUGUGUGUUUACAUUGUGAAUUUUGUAAAGGCAUUUUUUUAUUUUUAAAAUUUAUUUAUUUAUAAGAGUUUUAUAGUUAUACAUAAUGGUUUGGUUCAACCCAACAAACUCAUACAUGCAUGGAAAUCGAUUUCAGUUCAUGAUCCCCCUUGUAAAGGCAUUUUUAAGGAAAAAUUAUGUAUAUAUUCCCUGACAAAAAGGAUAUUCACUAUAGGCUGCCCAGCUCUUGAUGUAUAAUUUUUUCCCCUGGCAACUGACUGAAGUCAGAUUGAAGAAAGUGAAAAUUGGUCUCCUGUCCAGUGCAAAUGUUGAAAACUUCAGACUGAUGUACCCACAUCUAAUAUUGGCAGCCUGGAAGAUAGAUGUUAAAAGGCAGAUAUGAUUUGGACAAAGCAACUGUCAGUGACUGCCUUGAGUGGGAUUUGAGAGGUAGACAGGAGGCACAGUAGAGUCUCAGUUUGCUGAGUUCAUAAUGUAAAGAUUUAAAGCAUAGCUAUGAGGAGCUUUGUGUGGGUGUGUGAGAGAUUGCAUUUUAAUUCAUGUAGUCCAGUUAGUGUGGUUUUAGGUUUAAACCAUGAGCUUGAUCUUACAUAUGGCUCUUUAAUUUUUCACAGAAGAAAAAUGACAAAUAUUUCUCCUUUGGAAUGCUGAGUAUGGUUUUCAAAACGUGUUAAUGAUGCUCUGGAAGAGCAAUAGCGGAGGAACAUUUAACAUUUUGAAGAUUAAAGUUAAUUAGGUUUUUAGAUUAGUAUAAUAACUUUCUUCAUUAAAUCUAAUAAGAAAUUAGCUGAUUUUUCUCAUAUUCUUGCCUUGAGUUUUGGCUUCUCAUUUGUUAUCCUCCCUUUUCUUUCCCCUUGCCUUCUGGGUAGGAUUUUCAUCCAGUUUUCUCCUCUUACUUUUCACAAAGUCUCUUUUCAUGUGAUCCCUUAUGGCUGGCUGGGUCUAUUGUUAGAAGUGCUUCCACUCCAUUUUUUUUUUUUGGUACCAGGGAUUGAACCCAGGGGCGCUUAACCACUGAGCCACAUCUCCAGCCCUCCACUCCAGUUUUUACCUUUUGUGUGUUUCUCAGGACUGUGAUUAAUUUAAAAAAAUUGGUUCAUUAUUGAUCCCCCUUACCUCUAGUCUCACCAUUUAAUCCAUUUUCUCUUGUUCCUUAUUUAACUUGAGCAAGAAAAGCAAAAUAUAAAUUCUGGAAAAAUCAUUAACUGGUUGUCAUCUGGGAGUUUUAUAUCUUAAAAUUGUCUGUCUAACUUAAAACUCAAGUUUCCAGGGUGGAGGCUAUAUUUUUUUUUUUUUUGACUUGUGAUGUGUCAAGGAUGCUGUCUGCUUCUGGAUCACUACCCUUGUGUGAGCAUAUGCUGCUUUGCAGAGAUUCGAGGUCUGCUAUAGCCAACUUGGAAGUGAGGAAAGAAGAGUGAAGUUAUUAAAUUCUAAUGUUUCCUGUCAUUUUGAAAUUUCUCCUCUUUUGUUUUUUUAAAAAAUUAUCUUGUUAAAUUCACAAAGAAAACUCAGAUGAUACUUUUAAGUUACAGUAGGUAAUAUUACUGCCUUAAUAUAUUUAUACAAUGUAGCUGAGGAAGUUAUCUUAGGUAUAAAAAUUUUGGCUUUGGCAAGACUUGAGUCAUGGUGUUGCAGUAACUUGGUUUCUUCUAGUUAAUUUCUUAAGAAAGUGAUUCCAAGUUGAAAUGCAUGUUAUGCAUUUAUUUGAAUAUGUAAUCAGGAAGCAAGUGCCUCUCUUUGGAGUGUUUCUGAAUAGCAGCAGGGUGCACUUGAAUUAGUAAGGAAAAUGAGAACAUGAAUAUGUGUGAUACUCUAUUUUAACUUAAAAAGAAAAAAAGUUCAUUCUGUCUGUCCAUCCCAGGAUGGAAAGGCGGAUAUGUUGGGAGGUUUUCUAGGCUAUACUGAUGUAUAUUUAAAUAACUUGAUGCUACAUGUUUAUUUCUUGGAUUGACUUUCAAAGAUAAAUAGUUUUGUGGAUUAAAAAAGACAUUAUCAUCCCAGAAAGUUCUUUUAAAGUAUCUGUCAGAAAUUCUUUGAAUCAUUGUCUGUUUUUAUUUGAAUCAUUGUCUUUUUUUUUUUUUUUUUUUUGUAACUAAGGUAUAUUAUCUAAGGGCCUGAGGUUUUUGCCAAAUAUUCUCCAAUAAAUAAUGAAAGGGUAAAGAUGGAGACAAUUGUUGUAUUUAGGUUCGUCCUCAUAUCACUAUGGGUUAUGCCAGAUAUACACCAUCAUUUGUUUUCUUCCCAUAAGGGUUGUGUUAUGAAGUCUGUUAUUCUUUGUAACCAUAUUGCUAGUUUAUCUUCAUUGACAAGUAUGGAAAAUGUCUUCAGGCUGGUAAUGGUCUUGUAGGCUCAAGUGUUCCCUUGUCUUGGCCUCCUGAGUAGCUGAGAAAACAGGGACUAUAGACCUGUACCAUCAUAUCCAGCUGUAUUAACUUUUUUUGGUACUGGGGAUUGAACUCAAAGGUGCUUUACCACCGAGCCACAUCCUCAGUUACACCCCCAAACCCCUUUAAAAAAAAAUUUGUGACAGGGCCUCACUAAGUUGCUUAGAGCCUUGCUAGUUUCUGAGGCUGUCCUCAAACUUGUGAUCCUCCUGCCUCAGCUCCUGAGUUGCUGUGAUUACAGGUGUGCACCACUGCACCUGACUAUAUUAACUUGAUUAUCUUGAAAUUGGCAACUAAUCUUGUGAAUUCUAGGUUCUGUCAUUUUUAUUAUUUGGUAAAAUGAGAGUUGGUGGAAUGAUAACAAAGAGAUAAAAAUGGUUAUGUCACUUCUUGGUGAGACCCCUUGAUCAGAUGUGUUUAAGAGUAUUUGGCAUAAAGUAGGUUUAUCAGUGUAACUAAAGCACUAAAAAGUAAUUUUUAAAAAUUUAAUUGAUUUUUUUAAAAAAAUACACAACAGUGGAAUGCAUUACAAUUCUUAUAAAAAGUAAUUUUUUGAAAAUUUUAUUUUUGGUACCAGGGAUUGAACCCAGCGGUCCUUGACCACUGAACCAUAUCCCUAGCCCCCCUGCCCCUCUUUUUUAAAUUUUGAGGCAGAGUCUUGCUGAGUUACUUAGGGCCUCACAAGUAGCUGAGGCUGGCCUUGAACUUGCAAUCCUCGUGCCCCAGCCUCUCAAGUCACUAGAAUUACAGGUAUAUGCCACCAUGCCCCCACCUCACUUUUCAAAUACUUAAGAAAUAUGAUAUAUAGAGUAUGACAAAUAAAUAUAAUGAUAGUCUUUUACAUUAGAAAAUUGAAGGCUUCCGUUAUUAAUGAAUAUGAGCUAUUGGAGAAGGAAAAAUAUUUUUUCUUUUUAAAAUUUUUUAAAUUUUAAUUAGAUAUAUAUGACAGCACAAUGUGUUUUGAUUCAUUGUACACAGUUGCAGCACAACUUUUUAUUUCUCUGAUUAUACACGAUGUAGCAUAGCACUGUAUGUGCAGUCAUAUAUGUACCUAGGAUAGUAAUGUCCAUCAUACAUCCAUUAUUCCAUAUUUUCUGCCUCCAUAUUUCCUCCCCUUCCUUCCCUCCCCUUUACCCCAUCACAAAGUUCCUCUAUUUUUCCCAUGUCCUCCCCCAUUAUGGAUCAGCAUCCACUUAUCAGAGAGAACAUUCAGCCUUUGGUUUUUUGGGAUUGGCUUAAUUUCUUUAGCAUGAUAUUCUCUAACUCCAUCCUUUACCUGCAAAUGCCAUAAUUUUAUUCUCUUUUAAUGCUGAGUAAUAUUCCAUUGUGUGUGUGUGUGUGUGUGUACACACACACACACACACACACACAAUUAGUUUCUUUAUCCAUUCAUCUAUUGAAGGCAUCUAGUAUGAAUUGAGCUGCUAUAAACAUUGAUGUGGCUGCAUUGUAUAGUAUGCUGAUUUUAAAUCCUUUGGAUAUACACUAAGGAUUGAGAUAGCUGGGUCAAAUUGUGGUUCCAUCCCAGGUUUUCUAAGGAAUUUCCAAACUGCUUUCCAUAGUGGUUGCACCAAUUUGCAGUCCCACCAACAAUGUAUGAGUGUGCCUUUUCCCCUACAUCCUUGCCAACACUUACUUACUGUUGUCUGUAUUCUUGAUAACUGCCAUUCUGGCUGGAGUGAGAUGAAAUCUUUUUAAAAAUUUUUUUAUUUAAUAUUUAUUUUUUAGUGCAGUUGGACACAAUACCUUUAUUUUAUUUAUUUUUAUGUGGUGCUGAGGAUUGAACCCAGGGCCUCACACAUGCUAGGCGAGCGCUCUACCCCUGAGCUGCAACCCAGCCCCAGAGAUGAAAUCUUAGAGUAGUUUUGAUUUGCAUUUCUCUAAUUAGAGAUGUCAAACAUUUUUUCAUAUAUUUGUUGAUCAAUUGUAUAUCUUCUGAGAAGUGUCUGUUCAGCUUCUUAGCCCAUUGAGUUGUUUGUUUUUUUGGUGUAAAGUUUUUUGAGUUCUUUAUAUAUCCUGGAAUUAGUGCUGUAUCUGAUGCGUGUGGCAAAAAUUUGCUCCCAAAAUGUAGGCUCUCUCUUCAUCUCAUUGAUUGUUUCUUUUGCUGAGAAGCGACAUUGUAGUUUGAAUCCAUCCCAUUUAUUAAUUCUGAUUUUAUUUCUUGUGCUUUAAAAGUCUUUUUAAAGAAGUGGGGGCCUAAUCUGACGUGAUGAAGAUUUGGGCCUACUUUUUCCUCUAUUAGACACAGGGUCUCUGGUCUAAUUACUAGGUCCUUGAUCUAGUGCAUGGAGGGACAGAGGUUUAGUUUCAUUUUGCUGCAUAUGAAUUUCCAGUUCUUCCAGCACCAUUUGUUGAAGAGACUAUUUUCUCUCUAAUGUAUGUUUUUGGUUCCUUUGUUUAGAAUGAGAUAACUGUAUUUAUGUGGGUUUGUCUCUGUCUUCUGUUUUGUACCAUUGGUCUACAUGUCUAUUUUGGUGCCAAUAGAAAAAGAUUUGAGAGAAUUAAAAUCAUUUUCAGUUACAGAGAACAAAAUAACUCAAGCAAAGGUCAUCUCAAAUCAGUGGGAGGAAGGAAUCAGAAUUCCUCUUAUAGCCAUGAAUCUGAUCCUGAGAUGAAUAAUUUGAACACAUUUAAGAUGGUUGAUAGAUCGCAAAUUCUUCACCUGAAAGGUUUUGUUAUUUUAACACAGGACUGUUUUUGCUGGUUUUAAAAUAAACAUUCAGUUGGAUGUCUUAAAAUAUCUUUUCUCUGUUGGUAGUUGUUAAUAAACAAUAUUUUCUCAAAAAAUGUUCUUUUUGCUGGGUACACUGGCACACACCUAUAUUCCCAAAGGCUCAGGAGGCUGAGGCAGGAGGAUUGCAAAUUCAAAGCCAGCCUCAGCAACUUAUUGUGACCCCAUUUCAAAAGAAAAAAUUAAAAGCACUGGGGAUAUGGCUCAUUGGUUAAGAGCCCUUGGGUUCACCCCCCCCCCCCCCAAAAAAAAAAAAAAAGCUGGGGAUGUAGCUCAGUGGCAGAGUGCCCUUGGUUUCCAUCCUCAGUAUGGGUAAAUAAAUAAAUUAAUAAGUAAAUGGGGUAGAAGGGCUGAGGGAGAGGUAAAGGCCUUCCUCAAGUCUCUCUGCAGUAGCUGUAAACAGAAAAUAAAAGUGAUGAGAUUGGGGCUGCAAAUACCUACAAUAACUCAUAUUUUAGAUAAGUCUCUCAAGAUGACUGAUUUUUAUAAAGUUUUUGAAAAACAUUUGGUAAUGUAUGCUUUACAUUUUGGAAGUUAACUAGCAUCGUUUAUACCUUAGAAAACAGAUUUCAAAACCUGAAUAUUAUGCAUUGUACACAUGAAACAUACUUUUAACUUUGUUAUCAUUUAAAAACUUUUUUCUUUAGAAGUAUAUUCAUUAUAGGAAGUUAAGAAAAUAAUUACAUAUCAGGCCAUACGUACUACCUUGUGAUAAAUUGUCAAUAUUUUGAUGUAUGUUGGUUGUGGUCUGUUCCAUGACUUGCUUUUGUCAUAAACACAUUAUGAUCUCUGUUUUCACUGUAUAACAUUGAUUGUUUUAUAUUUGCUAUUUAAAGUGGAAAUGAACAAAACUUUUCACUAAUAAAGUCAUCUGGUCUGGGAAGUUCGUGUAAUUUAUAGAAGAUAAGCCAUAUUCCUCUACUAAGCUGAAAAAUUCAUGUUUCUUUCUGGAUGUUAGAGUUGGUAUGUGGCUAAUGACCAUGUUCUGAAUAGGUUUAAGAAUUGAAAAAAAGUAGAUGAGAAAGUGAAGGGGGCAUGGAAGUAUUUGUUUACAUAUAUUAUCUCAUUUUAAUUUUCAAACCAAUUCAGAUGGGGAGAUGGUAUUUCUAUUUUGAAAAAAAGACAAAUAGUCGAGAUGAAUCAACCCAAAGUCACACAGCCAUCAAAUAGUGAAGGUGGGAUUCAGAUCAAUUCUAAAACCUUGUUUUAUCUAUGCCAGGUAAUGUUCUGGAAGAAAGGUAAUACAUACUCAUUAACUUACCCUUGUAACAUUCUUUAUUUUAAAGGAGCAACAUGAUAGAAUAUGUCACAUCUUUUAGGCUCAAGUUAAAAACAAAAACUGUAGCCUUUUUUAAUGUUCUCUUUUUCUGUCUUUCGUUCCCCUCUCGUUCCCGCAUGUACGUGUCCCCACUCCCCCCAAUUCAAGCCUGUCUUUUCAAGGGGGAUUUAGUUAAGAUAUUUGAUGCUUCAGAAAGGCCUUGAACUUGUCCUGUUCCAAUAAAUAACUUUGGGGGAUUUUUUUUUGGUUUUCUUCCUUUGCAAUUAGUCUUUGUUAUUGUUUUGAACUCCAGAAGAGUUUAAAUUUUAUCCCCAGUUUAGGAGAAAACAGCAGGGGGUGAUAGAUCUGAUUUCAUGGCAGAUGGUAGUGGGUUCUCUUAAAUUUAAUCUCCUUUAUAUCUUAGGAGAUUAUAUCUUAGUUAAUAUGUAGUUGACUGGUGGCAAUUGGGACAAAGCCAGAAGACCUAACUAUGUCCUAAGCUUUUACUGCUUGCAUGAGAGCCUGGACAGAUCUCCUCUUUGUUUUAGUUUGCUAGUUUACCCUUUUGUGUGAAGAGAGCUUUUGAACUCCUAGAAAUGUGCUAAGGCUAAUCUUUUAAAAAUUUUUUGAUUUAUUUUUGCAUUUGAUUUUGUAAAAAUACUUUUAAAAGAAAUCUCAUCCAUGUUAUUGUCGUGUUCUUAUUUUUAUUAUUUUUUUAGUUGUAGAUGGACAUAUUAUCUUAAUUAUUAUUAUUAUUAUUAUUUAAUGUGGUGCUGGGGAUUGAACCCAGUGCCUUACACAUGCGAAGCAGGUGCUCUACCACUGAGCUACAGCCCCAGCCCCUUGUCAUGUUCUUUUUACAGGGAUUACCAUUGAGCAAAAGAAUGAAGAUCUUGUUCUUAGCUAUGGGCUUACUUACAUGUUUGUCCAUAGUUUUGUGAAUAGGGAAAAUUUGGAUAUUUUAAUUCAUAAUUUAGUGUGCUUUUUUAAAAAACAGAUUAUUUUUUUAGUUGUAGGUAGACACAAUACCUUUAUUUUAUUUUUGUGUGAUGCUGAGGAUCGAACCCAGUGCCUCACUAUGCUAGGCAAGCGCUCUACCUCUGAUCUACAACCCCAGCCCCCUAGCGUGCUUUUUUAAAAGUAUUUUAAAAGUAUUUUAACAUUUUUUAAAAAUGUAUUUUUCAUUAUUAAUAUGUUAGCUAAACAGUUUAAGAACUUGCCAAUGUGCCUUUGAGCUGAAAGAAUAGGUUGGAUGUAAAUGUUUUUUUCACUAGUACUAGCCAUUGAACCAGAGACCCUCUAUCCCAGCCCUUUUUAUUUUAUUUGAGAUAAAGAGUCUGGGGUUCUCCUGCAUUAGCCUCCCAAGUCUUUGGGAUUAUAGGCGUGCACCACUAUGCCUGGCUAAUGUGUUUAGUUUACCUGGCUUCUUCCUUCCAGUUUCAGUUGUUUGCUGUCAUUGAUCUGUUGUUAUUUUGGAACCAUAUCAUGGUAGCUGAAGAAUGAACUGGGUUAAGAGUUACAACUUAGAGGAAGGAGGAGGUUAUGAUGAAAAGAAAAGAGUUGGUGAAAAAUUUGAGAGUCAGCAUGUCAAGGUUAUGUGAUUGUUAAAAUUGCCAGGUUUCAUUUGUUCAUUUAAAUGUAACCUAGUCUUUGAAGAGUUUUGAUUCAUUUAGAUGGACUGUAGAUUUAACAGUCUUUUUAAAAUUCAUUCUGGGGGCUGGGGUUGUGGCUCAGUGGUAGAGCACUCGCCUAGCACACGUGAGGCUCUGAGUUCGAUCCUCAGCACCACAUAAAAAUAAAUAAAUAAAACAAAGGUAUGGUGUUGAACAUAACUAAAAAAUAAAUAUUAAAAAAUAAAUAAAAUUCAUUCUGUUUGGCCUAAUUUGAGCCCUUACCUGUGUCUUCUAAUUCUUUCAUUCACUUGAAGUUUACUCCCUUUUUUAUCUCCAUCCUGCUCAGAUUUUAACAGAGAACCAGAGGAACUUCUGAAAAAACUGGGAUUUUUCAACAUUAUCAAACUUCAUACUGUUUAGAAGCCUCUUGCUAUUUUGCAUUUACUUUUCAUUUGAGGGUCCUGGAACUGCCAUUUAUUCCACUUGGCCCUUACCUCCUCCUGUGGUCCUGAUUGUGUGUGCUUCUGUCUUUGGCCCAGAAUAUUCAUUCUUCAGUUGGGCACUAUGAGUCUCCUUUUGUCUCUCCCCACUCUUAAUAUUUGUUAUUAAUUCCAGUUGUGAUAAUAAAAAGUAUGGCAGUGGUAGGCACUGCUCUCUGCACUCUGCUGAGUACUUUGUGUGUCCUAGAGCAUUUGGUUUCAUCUCCGCAGCCCUGGAAAGUGGGCACAGGCAGUUCUGGCUUUGCAAGGUUCUGAUGUGCGCACAUUUUCAGUUACCAACAUUUAGUUAAAUACCACCAGUCCCCCAAUAGUUCAAAAUUUAGUUACCACAGUAUACUAAUUAACAGUGAAGAUUUGCAUAAAGUAAGUACUAACCUUGCUGUUAGCUCUGAAGUAUACAUAUUGCCACAUAAAUAACUGAUUCACAUUAUGGUCAGUGACCAAUUAUGUCACUCUUUCCAGUUUGUUGAUUGUUCAUUGUGCAUCUUUUUUUUUUUUUUUUUUUUUAAAGAGAGAGUGAAAGAGGGAGAGAGAGAGAGAGAGAACUUUUUUUUUAAUAUUUAUUUUUUAGUUUCCGGCGGACACAACAUUUUUGUUUGUAUGUGGUGCUGAGAAUGGAACCCAGGCCGCACGCAUGCCAGGCGAGCUCGCUACCGCUUGAGCCACAUCCCCAGCCCUUCAUUGUGCAUCUUAUCAGUUUAUGUAGAGUGUGUAGUUGUGUUGUCCUUCCCUUCCAGUAAUAAACCCACUAGAACCAUUUUACAAAAGUAGAGAAUUAAAAGAGGAAAUUAACGAACAAAAAAAUGGAUGCUCAGGCAAAGAAAUGAAAAAUGAUAAAUUGAAUAGAAGAAAAAUGGAGGAAAUAGCCAACCUCAGUAAUGUUUAUUCUGUUGCUGUUUAAAAUCCUAGGUAAGUGCCAAAGGAAUUUGCUGAAGGAACAUUCCUUCACUUAUGUGAGGAAAGUGAUUGUGAUGAAAAGGAAGAUGAUGUUCAAGAGAAAAUGAUGUCAUAAAAAAAUGUCAUGUUAAAGGAACUCUUGUAGAUAAUUUAUGAACUUGAAAAUGAAAAGAUUAAGAGCUGGAUAUGGUAGUGGGAUAUAUAUACAGAUGUAAUCCCAGUGACUGAGGAGGUUGAGGCAGGAGUAUUGCAAAUUUGAGGACUGUUUUGGCAAUUUAGCAAGAUCCUGUCUCAAAAUAAAAAUGGACUGGAUAUGUGGCAAGCAAGCAUUGUUAAUACUACUUUUGAGAGCUUUUUUUGUUGUUGUUGUCAUUGUUAACAGAAAGUUUUUAGCCUUAACCUUAACAACAACAAUAACAAAUUCUCAGUGUACUGUAAAGUUUAACAUAGUUUAUUGAAUAUGUAUAUGUUUGUAAUAAUAAAGGAGUUUUUAAUAUGUUGACAAAAAAUUUUAAUGGUUACAGCACAAUCAUAAUUUUUCCAUUGAUGAUUAAGAUCACUUUGCACUGUUUCAGCCUGUCUGAAUAUUUUUAUAGUCUUGUGCUACUAACAAAGAUUAUUAAUGUUAUUAUUUCUGUUUUACAACUGUGUAAACCACCACCUAUUUAGUGGUAAAAAAAAACUAUAGUUUCUGACCCUUAAAGGUGACCUUUGAACAGAAGAAUACUCAUAAAACAAAUUGAAGACCUUUUCUCUGAUUUUUGAUUUUGUUUUACCUAAUAAUACUAAUUUUAAAAAUAUAUACCAAAUAUAUACCCUAUGUUGUCUCUCAUGGUACAAAGUAGUGAAUUAGACAUUUUAAAAUUAUUAUUAUUAUUUUGAUGCUGGGAAUUGAACCCAGGACCUCACUAGUCAAGAGCUCUAUUAUCAAGCUACAUAGCUACAUCCCCAAUCUCUCAUAUUAUUUUAAUAGAUGCUCACAGUGGGGUAUUCUUGACAUUUUAGAGAGGAAACAGGCGUAUAGAGUCCAGUUGUGUAGCUGGUAAAUGAAAAAAACAAAAUCUAGGCCUUCAGCUCCAAGACCUGUACUCAUUCAUGUUAUUACAUUUGAUGUUCCCCCCCUUGUUAAUAUCAUAAUUCACAUACCAUAAAAUUUACCCCUUAUAAAGUAUGUAAGUGAUUAGUUCUUAGUACAUUCACAAGGUGUAUAGCUGUCACCCCUGUGUAAUCUGACAUUUUCAUCAACUCAGAGAAAAAUCCUGUUGUAUCUAUUAACAUUAAGUUCUGAUACUCCUACCCCAUUACCCUGCCCGCAACCACUAAUAUAUCUACUUUUUGUCUCUAGAUUUGCCUGUUGUAGAAAUUUCAUACAAAUGGAAUGGUACAAUUUGUGGCUUUUUGUGACAGACUUCUUUAACUUUAUGUGAUUUUUAUUUUCUUUCUAUUUUAAAGGCACUGAAGAGGUUUAUUUAGCAAAGUAGAUACACAUUCAAGGAAGAAUUGAGGCAAUCAAAAGAGAUUUACCCCACUGGGUAAUGUACCAGUACUUUGGUAAUGAAGCAGCACUUUGUUACUUUUUAUUGUUAUAUAUAGGGAUAUAUUACAAUUUGUUUAGCCAUUCAUUAAUUGAUGGGUGUUUGGCUUUUUAACUAUUAUGACUAAAGCUGCCAUGAGCCUUCAUGUAUACAUUUUGAGGUAUAAUAAUUAUACUUAGGUAUAAUAAUAUUAUAUAUAUUAUGUAUAAUAUAUAUAAUUAUUAUACUUAGGUAUAAUAUUAUACUUGAUGCUAGCCUGGGCAACACAGUAAGACUUCACCUCCAAAAAACAAAAACAAAAACAAGUUAGUGAUUUUUCUCAACUAAGCCUUCCAGGUAGCUGCAGUUGUAGGCAUUUGCCACUGUAACUACACACCUUCCCCCACCCCUUCUCCUUUUUAAUUUCUCUCAAUUUAUAUGCUGUCAUUCAGCUCUUGCUUGUCCCCUUCUCACUUUUAAGACAACCCUAGCUUGGAAUCUUUAAUUUUUGUUGGUUUCUUCUUAAUACUUUAUAAUCAAAAGUUAAUAGAUCUUUUGACCCCUGCCUUUAAAAUUUUCUAUUACUCUUUCCUAGGUCACCACUGCAGCUUUCUGAUGCCUCUUUCUGGUCAGGUUUAUUGUAUGUAAGAUUAGGUUAAUUUUCUCCUUCCAUGAGUUUGACUUCCUCUAGCUCAAGGAUUCUUUAUUGAAUUCUGUUUGUCCAUGGCCUUUCUAUCCAUUACUUCUUUCUCUCCUGUAUACAGCCCUCACUUUUCAGUUAGAUUAAAGAAUUCAGGUUCCAAUUGUAUCUUAUUGUGUUCCUCAGCUUGGAUCUAAGAAUGUUAGUAUUGACAUUGCAAAUCCUGGUCUAUGAUUCACUAGUUUGGUGACAGGGAUUAAGUUAUUUGACCUGUGUAAGCAUUAGUUGCCUUUGUGUGUGUGUGUGUGUGUGUGUGUGUGUGUGUGUGUGUGUGUUGCUGGGGAUUGAACCCUGGACCUUUUGCAUGCAAGGCAAGCACUCUACCAACUGAGCUAUAUCCCCAGCCCUAGUUGCCUCAUUCUUAAAAAGGGCUAAUGCCACCUACUUUCUGUAUGAUUGAUAAAAUUAAUUUAAUGUUGCACAUUAUUAUGUUCAUUCUACUUGAAGUGGUAACUCUUAAUUCUCCUGCCAAAAUCCUUCCUAUCUUUUGCAAGUUGGGUCCAGUUCAGAAUACCUUCCAUGUACCUGUUAACAUUUUACUUCUUCACCAAACUGGUUGUUAGUGCUUCCUUCUUUGAUAUCUCAUAGAACCCUAUGAAAGCAUGGGCUGUUUGUUGUGGACAUACUGCUAGUCCCUAAUAUAGUCCUUGAUGUGUGGUGGGUGUUCAUAUUUGUUGAAUAAAUAAAUCUUUUUUUGUGGGGGGGGGGCACCAGGGAUUGAAUUCAGGGGCAUUCAACCACUGAACCACAUCCCUAGCCUUAUUUUGUAUUUUAUUUAAAGACAGGGUCUCACUGAGCGGCUUAAGGCCUUUUACUGAGGCUGGCUUUGAACUCGUGAUCCUCCUGCCUCAUCCUCCCAAGCUGCUCGGAUUACAGGUGUCCGACACUGCAUCCAGCUAUAAAUCAUUUUUUAAAAUACCGUGAGACAUUAUUGUUAAUGUUAUGAAUUUACAUGAUUGCCAUAUGUCAGUAUCUUUUUAAAGAUAUAAGGGAGGCAUAUAUCAGAUAUAGGAAAACCUUUCAUCUGCAGAGUUCUUCAUCAUGAGUUAUUUCUGAUCUGAUAAAUAUGCAGAGCUUAUCUUUACUCUUAGUAUUCUAUAGAGCUUUUAAGUCUAAUUGAUGUAUGAAUCGGAGGUAACUUUUUUCCCCUUCUAAGCUCAUAUUGUACAACUAAAGUUGAUAGAAAUUCUUUUGUGUUGAGAAAUAGUUUACUUUUUUGAAAAUGGCCCUUAAAAUAAAACAAACAAACAAAAUACAUGGAAAUGAGAAAGAGAAUGGCUUUUAGGCUUUAAUCUACAGUGGAUAUACUCAGCAGAGAAAGAGAGUAAGUGCUUUUCCAAGACCCCAAAGAUAACACCAUACAACUACCAUCAGAAUACCAGUGGACAAGACAUAGCCCUGGCCCUCUAUGUGCUUCCAGCUAUAAGAAGGGAGGUAUAGCCAGGCACAGUGGCGUAUACUGUAAUCCCAAUAGCUUGGGAGGCUGAGGUAGGAGGAUCACGAGUUCAAAGCCAGCCUCAGCAGAAGUGAGGCGCUGAGCAACUCAGUGAGUCCCUGUCUCUAAAUAAAAUACAAAAAAGAUCAGAUGUAGCUCAGUGGUUAAGUGCCCCUGGGUUCACUUCCUGGUACAAAAAAAAAAAGGAGGAGGAGGAGGGAGGCAUAAUAAUCACCUGAAAUGCUUAUCAAUAGAAAUUAAUAAAACAAAGUAUAAUUUGUGUAAGUUUCCAGGAAAUAAUGUAAAUAAAUUCUUUUUUGUUUUAAAAAAUUGCUCUAAAGAGUUAUACAUGACAGUAGAAUGCAUUUUGAUACAUUAUUCAUAAAUGGAGUCUAACUUCUCAUUCUUCUGGUUGUACAUGAUGUAGUACAAUUACAAUUGUGUAAUCAUAUAUGUACAUAGGGUCAUAAUAUCUGAUUCAUUCUAUUGUUUCUGUCCCCCUUGUAAAUAAAUUCUUGAACUCAGGAUUGUAUAUGUUGUAUAUACUUUUAAAAAAAAAUAUUUUUUAGUUGUAGUUGGACACAAUACCUUUAUUUUAUUUAUUUAUUAAUGGUGCUGAGGAGGUAGGUAGGCGAGCGUUCUACCGCUGAGCCACAACCCCAGCCCUGUAUAUUCUUUUUUUAAAAAAAAUUUAAAAUUUAUUCUAAUUACUUAUACACGACAGUAGAAAACGUUUAUGCACUUUGAUAUAUCAUACAUAAAUCGAUAUAAUUUCUCAUUUUUCUGAUUAUACAUGUAGAAUCACAUUGGUUGUGCAGUCAUAUAUGUACAUAAAGUAAUAAUGUCUGUUUUUUUUUUUUUUUAAUAAUAUCUGUUUUUUUCUAUUAUCGUUCCUACCCACAUAUCCUUCCUACCUACUUACCCCCUCCUUCCCUUAACUCCUCUCUUUCUAAUCUAAAGUAAUGAUAUUCUUCCCCUGAUUUUUUAGGUGUAGAUGGACACAACACAAUGCCUUUAUUUUUUUAUGUGGUGCUGAGGAUUGAACCCGGGUCCUGCCCGUACUAGGCGAGCGCUCUACCGCUGACCCACAAUCCCAGCCCUUAACAUGAUAUUCUACAGCUCCAUCCCUUUACUGGCAAAUGCUAUAAUUUCAUUCUUCCUUAAGGCUGAGUAAUAUUCCAUUUUACGCCCCCCCCCCUUUUAAAAAAUCCAUUCAUCUCUUGAAGGUCACCUAGGUUGUUUCUAUAGUUUAGCUAUUGUGAGUUCAGCUUAUGCUGGAUAUUCUUUUUUUUUUUUUUUUUUUGUGGUGCUGGGGAUUGAACCCAGGGCCUUGCGCAUGGGAGGCAAAGCACUUUACCAACUGAGCUAUAUAUCCCCAGCCCUGGAUAUUCUUAACAACUAUGAUAAAGUCUAUUUUAUGUUUCAAGCUUAAUUUUUAAAAUUAUAGAUGCAAUAACCAGUUUAUUAUAGAACCUGGUUUCAUAAGUACAAAAUAAUAUUAAGAGGCAGAAUGUAACCUAGUAAUAACUCUUAGUUGCCUUUUCACUGCAGUUUUUUCUUUAAAAAAAAAAACACACCACAGAUUACAUACAUUUGGAAUUUCAUAUUUUUCUGCUUAAGAUUAUAUCAUAAACCUUUACAUUUUUCAUAUGCUAAUAUUUUUAUAAUAGUUGUAGCCUCACCAUAAUUUACUUAACUAGUUUCUUAUUGUUGAGCAUUUGACCUAUUGUCAGUGUUUUGCUAUAAGAGAAAUGAAAGAAUCAGUGACUGAACUCUGAAUUUUCAGAUAUCAAAGAAUAUUUGUUAGGAAAGUAGAAAUUGGAUAGUUGGGAUGGUUAGGGAAGUGUGGUGGUAUACCUAGUGGUGGUUGUAUUUCUGAAUUAUUCUGUGGAUGUGGGUGUAGAUUGCAUUUGAUUAGUGUUUUUUCCUCUCCCCUUCAAAUCUUAGUUUUUUUUUUCCACUUCUUUAGUAAUAGCUUUUUGAAAAAGCAUAUUAUCAUUAGAUCAAAGGGAAGAAAUAUUUUUAAGUCUUUUGAUAAUAGUGCAAGUCACUUUUUGGAUAUUUUGCUUUCAUUGGUACCACAUGAGGGUGCUUGUUUCAAUGGUAGUUGUUACUUAAGAAAGAAGAGCAAGCAACAGAAAUGACCCCUAUACUAAAAUCUUGUGUGAAAUAUAGAGUUUGGACUAUUUUUUAAAAUAUUGAUCAGCCCUUCAUUUUAAUCCCUGCUGAGUUUUUUUUUUUUUUUUUGCCCCCAUUCUGUAAAACAGGAGAUUUGAUGAAGAGUGCUGCAGGAGAGUUUGCAGAUGAUCCCUGCUCUUCUGUGAAGCGAGGCAAUAUGGUUCGGGCAGCUCGAGCUUUGCUCUCUGCUGUUACCCGGCUGCUGAUUUUGGCUGAUAUGGCAGAUGUCUACAAACUACUUGUUCAGCUGAAAGUUGUAAGUAUGGGCCUAUGUUUGUAAUUUGUUCUUUGUGUAUCAUAGUGAAGCUGAUGGUGGCCAUUCUUAGUUCAUCAGUUCUUAGGUUUUAGUUUGGUUUUGAAGUUUAUCUAAAUGGACCAUGCAUGUUUUUGUUUAGUUUAUGCUUACUACUUUUUCAAGUAUAUAUGAUCUGGGCCCUCCUAUGAGCCAGUGUUGUCUUGAUUCUAAGGAAGAACUUGUAGCAAAGGUAUUGUUUAGACUUCUUUGCAGUACUGAUUAAACAUUUCCUUGCAUUGGUAGAAUUGAAAAACUAAGAUACAUUAAAUUGUACACUUUUAGAUAGAGACCAAUAUUACUAUAUGUCCUUUCUACCUUUUGUAAAGCAUCCAUGUAAUAGGAGGUCCCUAGCAGCUCAAGAGAUUUAACUUUGAAUUGCUUUUGAGUAGUUGUUAAAAGGAAUUAAAAAAUAUUCUCAGAUACCAUACCAUACAUAUCAUUAUCAAUAGACUUGUAAGUCAGAACUUUUGUUUUUUGGGGUUGUGUUUUAUAGGUAGAAGAUGGUAUCUUGAAACUGAGGAAUGCUGGCAAUGAACAAGACUUAGGAAUACAGUAUAAAGCCCUGAAACCUGAAGUUGAUAAGCUGAACAUUAUGGCAGCUAAAAGACAACAGGUACAGUCAUUAUUUGGGGAUAUUUUAAAAUUGUUUAUAUUUAGUGAGGAAAAAACCAUUUUGCCUACGUUUUCUGAUGGUACCAUUAUCUUGCUCUGCUAAUACAGUUUAAUUAAAAUAUUUAAUCUAAGGUAUCAGUUCAGUAUUGUGCUCUUAACAGAAGUAUAAUUAUAAUAAAGUUGUAUUCAUGUUAUUCUCUCAUUUUAAUUUUGUGAAAAUUUUAAGUAGUUUAUCAUUUUUAAUGAAGAUAUAUAUGGGGAGGUGAUUGGCCUUUGUUAUAUGUGUUCAAGUAUUAAUGUGAGUUUUAGUAGAAUUAGUAGAAUUUAGAUCUUUAGGAAACCUAAACAAGUUAAAACAUAUUAAAGUUAUCUCUACAUCUGAGACCCUCCCUGCUGCAUUAUCACUUUUAAAGUGGCUCUUAUAAUCAUUACUAGUAGUUUUUGUUGUGUGAGGCAUGUGGAUCAUUAUUCUCAUUUUUUUCAAGUUCCACAACCUGUUUGGUAUUUUUGCUGUUGGGGUCUUUGAAAUCCUUCCUCUGUCUUUUCUGUUGGAUACUUUGUAUUUUAGGUUUGUGUUCUGCAAGGAGGAUACAUGCAUUGCCAUCCAGCUCUUUUAUAACUCCCUAAGUACUGAUGAAACUUACUCUACUUCCCCGCCUCAAGGAUGGUGCUAAGGAUUGAACCCAGUGCCUUCUGUAUUCUAGACAAGUGUUCUACCACCAAGCCACACCCCCUACCCAGCAACUACUUUUCUUAUAUUAAAACAAUCUCUGAGAGGCUGGAGUUGUGGCUCAGAGGUAGAGUGCUUGCCUACCAUGUGUGGGGUGCUGGGUUUGCUUCUCAGCACCACGUAUAUAAAUAAGUAAAUAAAAUAAAGGUCUAUCAACAACUAAAACAUAUUUAAAAGAAAACAAUCUCUGAAAGGAUGAAUUGUUAUUAUUACCUAAUACUCUUAUCAGUUAGGAUAUCUUGUACUGUCUGUACAGGAAACCCAACUCUUAACUCCUUGAAUAGAGGAAGUGGGUAUUUUUUCACUGACAAUAGCCAACAGUAAAAUGAAUAAUUGAUAAAGAAAAUGUAGUAUAUACAUGGAUUAAUACUCUCCAUCAUAAAAAAGAACAAAACAGUGUCAUGUGCAUAGCAUAGUGUUAACAGGAGAUCAUUAUGCUAAGUGAAAUACACUAGGCACAGAAAGAUGAGUGCUGUAUGAUUUUACUCAUAAACAGAAUAAAGAAGAAAUAAUAUGAGGGAAACCCUAUUGACUUUAACUUGUUUUUUUUUUUUCCUCACUUAAAAAUCAACUUUCUUCUAAACCUAUUGCUUAGAAACCAAACUUAUCGCUUCCACUAAACAAUGUUCAUAAUGAAAGCAGUACUAAAGUUACCAUUUGUCCAUUUCCUAUGCACAAAUAUACACAAAGUACAUAUUUUAUUAAAAGUUGAAAAAUUGUAAUCGUUUUAUUUUUUUUUAAAUACACAGCAGCAGAAUGUAUUACAAUUCUUAUUACACAUAUAGAGCACAAUUUUUCAUAUCUUUGUAUAAAGUAGGUUCAUGCUGAUUCGUGUCUAUGUAUAUAUUUGGGUUUUUUUGUAUUACAAUUCUUAUUACACAUAUAUACAACAAUUUUUCAUAUCUCUGUAUAUAAAGUAGGUUGACACCUAAUUCUUGUCUUCAUAAAUGUACUUUGGAUAAUGAUGUCCACCACAUUCCAUCAUCCUUGCUAAUCCCCUACCUCCUCCCUUUCCCUCCCUCCUGUCUUCCCUAUCUAGAAUUCAUCUAUUCAUCCCAUAUUCCCCCUCCCUACCUCAUUUUGAGUCAGUCUCCUUAUAUCAGAGAAAACAUUUGGCAUUUGUUUUUUUGGGACUGGCUAACUUCAGUUAGCAUUAUCUUCUCCAACGCCAUCCAUUUACCUGCAAAUGCCAUGAUUUUAUUGCUGAGUAAAAUUCCAUUGUGUAUAUAUGCCACGUUUUUUUUUUUAACCAUUCAUCACUGAAGGGCAUCUAGGUUGUUUCCACAGUUUAGCUAUUGUAAAUUGUGCUGCUGUAAACAUUGAUGUGGCUGUGUCCCUGUAGUAUGCUAUUUUUAAGUCCUUUGGGUAUAGUCCGAGGAGAGGAAUAGCUGGGUCAAAUGGUGGUUCCAUUCCCAGAUUUCCAAGGAAUCUCCAUACUGCUUUCCAUAUUGGCUGCACCAAUUUGCAGUCCCACCAACAAUGUAUGAGUGUACCUUUUUCCCCACAUCCUCGCCAACACUUAUUGUUGUUUGUCUUCAUAAUAGCUGACAUUCUGACUGGAGUGAGAUGAUAUCUUAGAGUAGUUUUGAUUUGCAUUUCUCUGAUUGCUAGAGAUGAUGAGCAUUUUUUCAUAUAUUUGUUGAUUGAUUGUAUGUCCUCUUCUAAGAAGUAUCUGUUCAGCUCCUUGGUCCCUUUAUUGAUUGGGUUAUUUGUUAUUUCGGUGCUUAGCUUUUUAAGUUCUUUAUAUACCCUAGGGAUUAGUGCUCUAUCUGAUGUGUGAGGGGGAAAGAUUUGCUCCCAGGAUGUAGGUAGGCUGUCUGUUCACCUCACAGAUUGUUUUUUUGCUGAGAAAAUCUGGACAUUUUUUUCAACAUGUUAUCUUUAGUGUACCUGUUGCUAGAUGGGUGUAGAUGUUCUAAGUGUGAUAUUUGCAUAUAUCAAUGUGUCCGAUGAGAAUAAAAGAUUUUUUUUAUAUGUCUCUCUUUGUGCAAACAACCUAGAAGCCCUCAUAAACUCACCCUGAAUCUGAAAUGUGCACAUAUAUACAUACCUAUGCUGUUUUUUCCUUUGUAUAUUAUGUGUAUUAUAAUUUGUACAUAAUGGUGGAAUUUGUUGUUACACAUUCAUGCUUGCACACAAUAUAACAGUAUAUUUUGGCCUUGAUUGUUCCCCCAGCACUUACCCCCUCCUUCCUUGUCUCCCAACCCCAGUUGUUCUCCUCUACUCAUCUCCCUUUGAUUUUCCUAAGAUUCCUACCACCACCUUUUUAAAAUCUUUUCCCCCUCUAGUUUCCACAUAUGAGAGAAAACAUAUAACCCUUGACCUUAUGAGUUUGGCUUAUUUCAUGUAACAUAAUGGUCUCUAGUUCCAUCUGUUUUUGUGCAAAUUACACUUCAUUUUUCUUUAUGGCUGAAUAAAACUCCAUUGGGUAUAUAUGUCAAGUUUUCUUUAUCCAUUUAUCUGUUGAUGAACACCUAUACUAGUUCUCUAGUUUGGCUAUUAUGAAUUGUGAUGCUAUGAUGUAUCACUAAAGUAUGGUGACUUUAAUUCUUAGAAUAAGUAUUGAGGAAUGGUAUAGGUGGGUCAUAUAGUAGUUCCAUGCCUAGUCUUUUGAGGAACCUUUACACUGAUUUCCAUAGUGGUUGUACUAAUUUACAAUCCCACCACCAGUGUAAAGGUGUUUCUUUUUCUUCAUCAUUUAUUAUUGUUUGUAUUCUUGAUGACUGCUGUUCUGUCAGGUGAGAGAUGAAGUCUCAGUGUAGUUUUGAUUUACGUUUCCACAAUUGCUAAUGAUGAACAUUUUUUCAUGAUUUUUUUUUUUUUUGGCCAUUUGUAUUUCUUCUUUUGAGAAGUGUUUGUUUAAUUCGUUUACCCAUUUAUUAAUUAGGUUAUUUGAGUUUUUUUGUGUUUAGUUUUUUUUUUUUUAGUUCUUUAUAUAUAUUCUAGAUAUUAAUCCUCUGGCAACAUGCCCAACAGGCCUAUAUGUCCCUCAAUAUCCUGGUUUUUAUCAUUGUUCACCCUAUUUUCUGCCCUGGGAUCUACCAUGUCUGGAUGCAUCAAUGGGCUCCUUUUGCCCUGUUAUUCCUGGUUAGGUUUGGCCAGUGGGAGCAUAAGCAGGAGGUUAAAGGAGAUAGGAGAGUGAAGUUGGGGUGUUUUUCAUAGACCCCCUACCUGCUGGUGGCCCUGGGUAGAUCCAAAGUUCCUGGGUUCCUGCACCCUGGAUUCUGGUAACUGUUGCUGCUUCAUGUCCCUUCAGACUUAAGUGACCUAAUAGCCUUGUGGUUUUCCUAUACUUCAUGUGUAUUCCUAGUUCUUUUCUUGUGAAUUAAAAUUCUGUUCAUUUUAUCUUAAGGGCCCAGCUUGUUGGAAACUUCACUCUGGAUAUUUCCAUAUUCAGCUGCAUUUGGAUACUAUCCGCUAGUUUCCUUCAAUAACUGGUCAUGUUUUCUCACACUGUGUUUUCUAAUAGAAUUCUUUUUCUGCUGUAUGCUUCCAUUGGUCUGUGUUCGCUUGACUUUUUCUUUUCUCCCCAGAAAUGUUAUGUGAUAAUUUGCUUCCUAAUUGAGCCUUUCAUCUUUGUAGGCACUUUGUCCAGGAAAAGGGAGUAUUUCCUCAAGACUGUGUGGCUCUCUUAACUGCCCUAGUAUCAUUUAACAACAGCUACCUAUUAAAGAAAACCUCAUAAGGUCCACGUGCUUUCUGGAAUUUACCUUUUUUGGUUUUGGAUAUGGCAUGGUAGUCAUGAUGACAUUGUUGACAAUAAUAUUAGAAUAAAACAUUUUGUUAGAGUUAUUCAUUAGUAACUCUAAGCAAGUGUUUACUAUGUGCCAAGCACUGUUAUAAGGUAUCCCCCCCCCACACCCCUUGCAGUGCUUGGGAUUGAAGCUAAGGCCUCAUGCAUUCUAGGCAAGUGCUCUACCACUGAGCUACAUCCUCAGCCCUAUUACAAAUCCUUUAUAAACACAAACUGAAUGUAAUCUUUUUUUUUUAAUAUUUAUUUAUUUAUUUUUCGGUGGACACAACAUCUUUGUUUGUAUGUGGUGCUGAGGAUCGAACCCGGGCCGCACGCAUGCCAGGCGAGCGCGCUACCACUUGAGCCACAUCCCCAGCCCCCAUGAAUUUAAUCUUAAGAAAGUAGUAAAUAGGCAGAUACUAUAAUUAUUCACAUGUUAAUUUUUGUAAAUGAAGGAACUGUAACACACAGAGGUUCUGUAAUCUGGCAAGGUUUUUCACUUAGUAAGUAGUGGAUCUAGGAUUUGAUCCUAAGCUGUCUCACUUAAGAACAGGGAUUUUGUCUGUUUUAUUGCUCCUAGAAUCCCUAGUGCCUAGAACAUUGCCUAGACUUAGUAUUUCUUCUUUCUUUUUUUUUUUUUAAUUGUAGGCAUACACAAUACCUUUAUUUUAUUUGUUUAUAUGGGGUGCUGAGGAUUAAACCCAGUGCGUCACACAUGCUAGGUGAGCACUGCACUGCUGAACCACAACCCAGGCCCUAGUAUUUCUUAAUAAUUAUUUGUUUAACAAAUGUAUAAACAGACUACUUGCUAUACUGCAGAUCUAUCCUGGAGUGGGAUUCUAAGUGUGGCUCUAAUUUGUUACUUUCUUGGGCUAAAAUAUUGUUUGCUAACUAGAAGUGUUGCAUUUCUAUUAGCCUCUAGGCUCUACUUUGACUGUAAGGGUAUCUUAAUACAUUUUCUGUUGUGUCUGAAUACUACAUACUGGGUGAUUUACAAUGAAUAGAUGUUUAUUUAGCUGGUAGUUCUGGGGGCAGAGAAAUCCAAGAGCUUGGUCCCAGUUGAUUUGCUCAGCAUCUACUGAGGGCUUUCUUGAUGCAUUCUAACAUGGAAGAAGGUAUCUCUUAUCAAGAGAAAGCUUGGAUCUCUUUUUCUCUCCUAUUAAAACCCUCAUGACCUCAUUCAAUCCUGAUUACCUCUCAAAAGCUUCACCUGCAAAUAGCAUUAACAUAUGAUUUUGGAGAUUGUUUUCAACAUGUAAACUUUUGGAGGAAUACAUUCAAACCAUAGCAAAGUGUAAAGGUGAUGGCAAAGUUCAAAUUGAGCUAACAUUAACCUUGGUUUCUGUAAGGAGGACCAAUGCUGACUCAUGCUGUCAACUCUGGGUCUCCAGCAUGCUAGGAACUUAGUGUUUUAAUGUUCAUAUUUCAUUCACCCAUCUAAGGACAACUUAUUUGAUAUUUGGAAGAACGUAAUGCCUCUUCUUUCUAUAAACUCUGCUUUGCAUGGUUAUUUUUCCAAAAAUUUGAACAGGUAUAUUAUUUUGUACCUGUAAAUAUGAUCUUUUGAAUACAAGACGAGAUGUGAUCAAAUAUAUCUGUGGCUAUGAUUUUAUCUUGUUAAAUAGGGAAAUAAGAAGAAACUUUCACUUGGGUAGAAAUAAUAUUAUACUCUGAUGAGAAGAUAGCUUCUACUUCCUGGUCAUUGAAUGGACUGGAUUGUUAAUUUGAGUUCUUUCCUCUAUGUUUUCUGUUUGGCUAUUCCUGAGUCGGUUUGAAUCAUAACUGGAUUGGUGAAGUUGAGGAAUCAUGAAAGCUAAACUAGACCACAGGAUUCUAAUUUAUUUUUUGGGUACCAGAGAUUGAAACUCAGGGGCACUCAACCACGGAGCCAUAUCCCCAGCCCUAUUUUGUAUUUUAUUUAGAGACAGGAUCUCACUGAGUUGAUUAGCGCUUUCGUUAUUUAGUGACAGGGUCUCGCUGAGUUACUUAGGGCCUCUCAGAGUUGCUGAAUUGGCUUUGAACUUGCAGUCCUCCUACCUCAUCCUUCCAAGUUGCUGGAAUUAUAGGUGUGUACCACCACAGCCGGCCCAAGAACCUUUUUUUUUUUUUCCUCUUUGAGUAAUUUCCAGUAACAAUGGGAUACAGAAAUGCCUCCUUCUGGUCUUGCUUAUUGUCGAUAUCACUUAACUGUUGCUUUGCAUAUGUUCUCAGCCUACCCAGUAGAUACCAUCAAUGGUAAGGAUGCCAGAAACCUCAGAUUCUUUUGUUGGAUCAAUAAUGGGGUACAGGAAAUAGAAAAGGAUAUUUUUCACUUAAGACUAUAUCUAUUCAGAAUAUUAUAAUCAUGGAUUAAAAUAAUGGAGCAUAUGAACCUCAACUUUAUGAUUUAAUGACUUGUGUACUGCUGAAUUUUAUUGGGUAAGGAAAGUUUGGUUCUGUGUUUUAGGGUUCUGUGUCUUGUGUCUUAGUCUUUGGGUUAUCAAAGGGGAGAGGAGUUCUGUACUUGUGAGAAUAACUGGGUAUAUCCUCACCUAGGUGGUUUCGCAUAGUUCACAUAUAACUAUGUUAUUCUGCUUCAGAUUUCCCCAAACUCUUCUAUUUUUUUUUUAAACAUUUACUUUUUAGUUGUAGUUGGACACAAUGCCUUUAUUUUGUUUACUUAUUUUUAUGUGGUGCUAAGAAUCGAACCCAGGGCUUUGCACAUGCUAGGCGAGCACUCUACCGCUGAGCCACAACCCCAGCGCCCCCAAACUCUUCUAAUUGACUUGUGUAACUUAACAAAUCCUUAUUAUCUUACUUUGUUUAAAUGUGUGUCAAAAUGAUUUUUAUAUUUUGGUUUGCUGGAAUAGGUACACAUAUCUAUGUAUAAUUAUAAUCAAGAUGCUGAGUAGUAUUAUGUUUUUACUGUGCUAUGCUAGGUGCUUUACAUGCAUUAUCCCAUUUAUUCCCCCAAACAACAAAAGAGCUUCUGUUACUGCUCAUAUUUUACAGAGGGAGAAACUGAGCACAAAGUGUAAAAUAAGGUCACAAUAGCCAGGAAAAAGUAGACUAGGAUAUUUAAAUCCAGAUUUCUGUGAUUCUAAAGCCCAAACACAACAUAUUAACUCAUACUGGUUCCUUUGUGCUUAACUUUCAAGUCAGAUUGUUAAUGAAAAUAAUUCAAGUUAGAUUGUUAAUGAAAGUAAUGUGUCUGAUAGGUAGAACUCUUAACUUUACUGCCUGUACCAGCAAAUUUUCAUGUGACUCUAACCCACAUAAAGAAUGCUCCAUUUUCUUAUUUUACUCUUGUAGGAACUGAAAGAUGUGGGCCAUCGUGAUCAGAUGGCCGCAGCUAGAGGAAUCCUGCAGAAAAAUGUUCCGAUCCUCUAUACUGCAUCCCAGGCAUGCCUACAACAUCCGGAUGUCGCAGCCUAUAAGGCCAACCGGGAUUUGAUAUACAAGCAGCUUCAACAGGCAGUCACAGGCAUCUCCAAUGCAGCCCAAUCUACAGCAUCAGAUGAUGCCUCCCAGCAUCAGGGUGGAGGAGGAGGAGAAUUGGCAUAUGCUCUCAAUAACUUUGAUGUAAGUUACACUUGAGAGGAAACUUCAGACUCUCACCAGUAUGCAAAAGAUGACACUUAGAUUUGUGAUAUAAGUAGAAGAAUCAUCAGUCUACUUAAUCAUAACUUGAUUUAAAGCAUUUAUCUUUUUUCUUAGCUUGGAUUGGAUUUCGGGAUUCUUUUUUGCAACAAGUAUAUUUCCUAUGGGGUCAUUCUUCUUCUUUUUUUUUUUUUCUUCCUUUUUUUUGGUUCUGAGAAGUAAACCCAAGGGCUACAUCUCCAGCUUCCCCUCCCCCCACUUAAAAUUUUUUUUUAGUUGUUGAUGGACGUUUAUUUUAUUCAUUUAUUUAUAUGCGGUGCUGAGAAUCCAACCCAGUGCCUCACACAUGCUAGGCAAGUGCUCUGCCAAUGAGCUACAACCCCAGACCUCCAGCCCUUUUUAUUUUGAGAUAAGGUCUCACUAAGUUGCUGAGGGCCUCACUUAUUGAGGAAAGCCUCAAACUUGUGAUCCUCCUGCGUCAGCCUCCUCAGUCAUUAGGAUUAAGGAUGUGUUACACUGCACCCGGCUAUGAGAUCAUUCUUUUUUAUUUUUUAAUUUUCUUUUCAGAUGUUGAUGGACUUUUAUUUUAUUCAUUUAUUUAUAUGUGGUGCUGAGAAUUGAACGAAGUGCCUCACACAUGCUAGGCAAGCACUCUAUCAAUGAGCCCCAGUCCCAAGAUCAUUCUUUAUUGAGGAUAUGAAUCUAGUUCAUUUGAUCCAAGAUUUUGACCUUCUGGAAGAUUCAUGAAGAUAUUGGAAAUAGAGCAGCAAUGUGUGCAGAGGUUUUGUCCCCUAAGAGAUCAUGGUCUAGUGGGGUAUACAGAUAUAUCAUAGUGACUGCUGCCAUCUUAAUCUUAUUUGUCUGCCUAGAUGUACUUCUCAGUAACUUUAAUUUGAAUCAUGAACAUAAAAUUUAAUCAAGUGGAAGCAGAUUUUGAAAUUAGCAUAAUACCACAUAUUGUGUGUAUAUACAGCCCUGUGUAUAUGACAUUAACUUCUUUGGUGGGUUUUGUUUUUAAUUCCUACCCAUACUGCUUCAUGGCUUCCAGUAGAUGGCAGCAGUUUAAGAUUUCUUUUUUUAAAGGGUAUUUUGUUUUGUUUUAAACCCAAUUGGUGGGGUAAUUUUUCUUUUUUUUAAAAUUAAGGUAAAGGAAACCAGUGUCCUUUCAGAAUAGAAAUAUUCAGGUUAUAGAAUCAAUACAAGGGGAGUGUAUUUUGUUUUUAACAUUUUUUUCUUUGCCUUAAUGUUUUCUUUGUCUGAUCCUUUAGGCUUUGUCUUAUCCUUUAGGCUUGUGUAACUGAUCCUUGCUGGUGUGCAUGGUUGAUUUAGGAUGGUCUUUUCAUGAAGCGUGAAGGCAGUGUUAAGCCUAAAGACCAUGAUAUUAGAAUUGAAAUUUUACCCUGGACCCUUAAACAUGAAAUAAAAUACCCAUUUAUAAGGAACUCUUAGGCUGCACCUAUAAUUUACUGGAACUGUUGUUUUCUCCUCUUCCAGUUUGACAGUAUUAGGUAUUUAUCUCUUUCAAGUUAGUAGGGGUCACAUUUUACCCUAAAUUAUUAAGUAAUAUCUGUAAUAUAAUAGCAGAAACCACUUAAUUUCUUAGAAUCACCGUUUCUUCAUUUGUAAAUGAGGGUUUGUCCUAAAUGAUCUGAGGCUCAUUGUGGCUCCACGAUUGUAUUACAAUUCUAUGAUCAUCCAUUCUUCAUUUCUAUUGGCCAGAAAGUAUUUUGUAUUCAGUUUUUAAUCAGAGAAAUCCUGUUAUGCAAAUUUGGUAAGAAAAAUGGUUAAGUAAAAUGUGUGGAUUAAUAAUAAAUUUAAAGUAUUACAUGUUCAAUUUUAAAACUGAGGUUUCUUUGGAAGGAAAGGAAAAAAUAUUUACUCAUUUGAAAACAUCAAGCUUUUUGUAGGAAAAAAAUUGGCAUUUAAAUUGAAAUUAAUAAGGACAUAAUCCUUAUAAAGAAAAAUUAAACCCAAAGUAAUUUGCACAGAUGGUUACCAUUGUGAGUGUAAAUUGUAUCAAGUGGGGACAUAGAUGAUCGAACUUGCACCUGUAGCUUACUUGUAUUUAGACCACACUCACUGGCAAAACUGUGUUUAAGUGGAGUCAGGAGGGAAGGGGAGAUGACAACAAUUUGUUUUUAGUGGAGCAAUUAUACUUCUUGCUAUCUUAGUGUACUUGUGGUCUUUGAGGAGGAAAGUUUCUAAUUUAGACACAAUAGGAUACAUUUGAGACCAAAUUGUUUAUAAAUCUUGAUUAGAUGUAUAAGGAGAGAAGUAGAUGGAAAUUAAUUUUAAUAAAUGCAUUUCUUUCUGAAAUUUUGGUGACAGAAGUAAAUUUUGUUUUUAUUUUUAAAUAUUUUUGUGUAGAACAAUUUUGCUACUCAUGUAGCAGUUUUAUACUUUGAAUGUAAGAAAGAUAAAUUAUUUUCCUUAUAAUUCUUAUUUGAUAAUAUGAAUUACUAAUACAGACUGACCUAUAGCUGUUUAGAAAAAGUAGUGUGGACAUGAUACAGUUGUAUUUGCAUUUGUGGUAUACCUUACCCAGACUGCUUGGCUGGAUAGUGCCUUUUUUGAAAAGUGAUUUAUUAUAGACCAACUUAUAGGAUGGCCCUUUAGCUACCAAGAAGAAUAACUUUCUAUUAGGUAUUAGAAUUAAAUCUUGAUAUUCCUAAACACUUUCCCUUACCUUGAAUGAUAAAGGGAACAGAGAUGAGCAUUCAUAUUCAAUAAUACUUUCUUGACAGAAACAAAUCAUAGUGGACCCCUUGAGCUUCAGUGAAGAGCGCUUUAGGCCUUCCUUGGAGGAGCGCCUGGAAAGCAUCAUUAGUGGAGCUGCCCUGAUGGCUGACUCGUCCUGCACACGUGAUGACCGUCGUGAGCGGAUCGUGGCAGAGUGCAAUGCUGUCCGCCAGGCCCUGCAGGACCUGCUCUCAGAGUACAUGGGCAAUGUGAGUGUCAGAA